GGUUCAUAUGCUAAACUCUAUCCAAAUCUGUUGGAUAUUUUUUUUUUAAAUUGGAUCGGAAUAAAAUAGCUCCAUAACAUCUUCAAUCCAACUUCGUUUUUUAUUUCAAAAUAAAUUUUGGAUUACUCCAUAAAGAAGUAAUUUUUUGUUUUAUUUAUUAUUUUUUAAAUGGAGUAAAACUUAAGUGAAAUUUAAUUUUAAUAUAGAAAUAAUAAUGUAAACUUGUUAAACUAUUAGAACAUUUUGAAGUUCUCUAUUAUGGAGUAGAAUUGGAAUUACUGCAUCUUAGAAGGAAAUAAUUUGAAUAUAUAACUCAAAAUUUAGUUCCUUUGCUGUCCAAGUUUAAUUAACUUAUAAAAACUCGAUGUGGUGAAAAAUACAACGUUGGUUCAAAUUGGAUAGCGUAGAAUCCUUCUAAGUGUUCCUGGAUGAUAUAUACUAGAUCUCGACGUAUUUGUAUGUGGGAUUUAAAUCUCCGUAAGGUUAAAAUCUUUGUAAUUUGGUUAAUGAAAGUUGUUGUUCCGUAAAAAAAAUGGAAGAAAUUAAUUUUGGAAUAUUUAUAAGAAAAUGAAAUUCAUUUCCUACAUUUCUGGCUACGAUUACUUGCAUGUGAACGUGACCCAAGAAAAAUGAUUAGACGGUAUGCUGAUAAAAGCGAGAAACUAAUUGAAAAAUAUCAACCAACCAGUUGAAGUAAUUAUCAAAACGCAUGUUUUCAGCCAUUGAGAAACAAAGUGUAUAAAUUCAAACGCAAACGCUGAAAGAAGACAAGCGUCCGAAGAAUGCGAUUUGCGACCAAUAAAACAAGAAUGAAAAGGACGUUCACGUGGACCUACCCGCAGCGUAUAAGAACCUCUCUCACUCUCCACCAUCACCACUUCUCUCACUAUAACUGCAUCCCCCACUCUAACAAACCCAAACGAGUUUCCAUUUUCAAAUUCGAAUUUCAAAUUUUCAUCGGAGAAGUUUCGUCGAUGAAGGUGAUCGCGUCGAGAAACUCAAAGCGUAAGGCUGUGGCGACGCCGUUCGCCGCGAAGAACCUUCCGUCGAUGAGUUCGAUCCGGAAGAGAGCUCUGAUCUCUCCACUAUCCGCUGCUUCCGGCUCCAAUUUGCUUUCUGCAGUCGACGACAAUGUCUCAUGCGGUUCCAGCAGAGUCGAGGAGAGCUCGAAGCUGAAGAAGAUUCGAAUCGAAGAGGAAGAAGAAGAAGUUUGGGGACCUGCUGCUGAUCCGAAGCUUCGGAGGAUCACGAGGUCAUACUCUAAGGUAACCAAGGAGAAGGAAGGAGACGAGAUCGAAGUAAGCGAAACGUCCUUCACACGAUCCGACGUGACGUUUGCCGAGAAUAAGGAGAGCGACGUCGUUUCGGGAGUAGAGUCUUGCUCCAAGUUCGGGAGCGUAACCGGAGGAGGAGGAGGCGAUUACGAAGAAACUGAAAUCUCCAAACCGAGCGGACACGUGGAAGCGAAGACGGAGGUUGUGACCAUGCUAUUAUGUCAAAACGCAUUUUCCAAAUUGUGAAAUUACUAGUGUACUCGUGUUUUAUUGUGCUGCGUUUUCAGAAACGCUAUUGUAGAAUCGAUAUGCGUAUCUGCGUGACUGAGCUAAAGCUUACUGCUCCAUGAUGGAUCAUGCUGAUUUCAUCCCUCAGCUACGCUUGAUCAUGGUUCAAUGGAUUGUGGAGGUUGAACAUUUAUUAUCAUUCUCUUCUUGUAUGCAUUGCAUUUGAUUGAAGCGUCUAAUAAAGGAACGAUUCUAAAUGUGUGUAUGGUGUUCUUCUGUUUUGCUGAUUUGUCUUCUCCCUGACUAUACGCAGCAAUGCUCUGCAAUGGAGCUUCAGCCAGAGACGUUGUUUCUAGGAGUUAGUCUGCUGGAUCGUUUCCUGAGCAAAGGAACCUUCAAAAGCGAGAGGACUCUAGUACUAGUCGGGAUUGCGAGUCUUACUCUAGCCACCAGAAUUGAAGAAAACCAACCUUACAAUAGGUAACAAACCAUGUUCCAUCUUUCAUUAUUCUGACUUCUAGUGUUCAUUAGGUAAAAUGGUCUCAAUAAGAAGAUGACUACAUGGCUUCCAUAUACAAAUCUUAUAUGGUCAUGUAUGUCAAACAUUGGAAUCUGUUUCUCAAAAGCUUUGUAGUACAAAAGCUUCUGGACACACACACAUAUUAAUAGUUCAAUUUUCUUGAGCUCCUCACCUGAUACUUUCUCCAUAUGAUUAGCAUCCGGAGAAGGAACUUCUACAUCCAGAACCUAAAGUACAGCCGGCAUGAAGUGGUGGCAAUGGAGUGGCUGGUUCAAGAAGUUCUCAACUUCAGAUGCUUCUCACCCACAAUCUUUAACUUCUUAUGGUAAAAUCCUUUAUUACUGAAGAUUAUUUUCUGUUGCAAGACACAUACACACACUGACUGAAAUAUACAUAUAAUUAUCAUUGAUACAUCUCAGGUUUUACCUAAAAGCUGCACGAGCCAAUCCGGAAGUUGAAAAGAAAGCAAGAUCCUUGGCCAUAACCUCACUAUCCGAUCACACUCAACUCUGUUUUUGGCCCUCAACUGUAGCAGCCGGGGUUGUAGUUCUCGCCUGCAGUGAACACAACAAAAUCUCAGCCUACCAACGAGUCAUAAAGGUACCAAUCUCUUCAACACAUACUUAAAGAUUUUUUGAUCUCAAAGAACAUACAGAACAUUCACAAUCCAAACCUCCAUCUCUCUCUCUCUCUCUCUGCAGGUUCACGUUAGAACAAAAGAUAACGACCUGCCUGAAUGCGUCGAGGUAUUUUGUUCAACAUCACUCUCAUCGAAUCAGAUCUCCUUUUUUCCACUAAAAGAGUUGACGGAUGUGUUUUAAAUUCGCGUUUCUAUAUACAGAGCCUGGAAUGGUUGCUUGAGCAGUAAGCAAUCCACAAGAACAAAUUACACCACAAACCAAAUACAGUAUACUCCAAUACGAACUCACAGGUUAUUAUUACCAUUUACGCAACGAACCUUUAUAAGGUAUAUAACAAGCCAAUGCCUCUACAGAUUUAUAUGCUUAAUCUCUGGACUUUAAUUAGCUCUUGUCUCUGCAUUACUAGUACCAAUUAUCAGGCCACAUUUGUGCUGCCACACACAUUUAUUGCUUAUUUUGUCCAAUACAUUACAAUCUCAUUUUAUUAAAACUUUUUUUUCCUAUUUCUUCUUUAAUAAGGUGUGAAAGACUUCUUAUAUUUUCAGUCAUCACUGUCAUUUUUAUAUUGGUUAGAAGAUCAAUUUUUUUGUGUCUCUAAGGUAAAUAACCUAGCGUCUGAAAAUAAAUAAAACAUAUAAUUGGAAGGACUGUAGGAUUAUAUAUAUGGUUUUUGGUACAACUACGAUAUGAAAUGAUGACAUAAUUGCUGAUUGUUGCCACCGGAAUGAUAUUCCAAUGCUUGAAUCCUGGCGCAAAAUUUGACAAUUCUAUGGAAUACAUCAUUUCACAUGAUCUCUUGUUUAUAUCUACACUAGUAGCUUGAGAUCCUGUUCAAUGUGAACUUAGCAGAAUUCAUUCACUCUCAAGUCUUAACAUUAAAAUUUCAGAUAAGUACUUGCAUAUAAAAGUUAAAAUUGUUGUUUCUCUAGUUUCAUUAAAACAUAUACCAUUCAACACAUUUUGGGUUAUCAUUUUAGACAUUUUAAAAGAUAUUCGUUUGAGAAAGAUAAUAAAACUAUAGACAAUUGAAAAGGUAAUGGCAUGAAGUUUUCCGGACCGUUUAAAUUGCUUUCUGACGUGGGAAUAUAUCACUACAAUUAAAAUAUGCAAAUAAUGACUUUUAGUAAGCAUCAAAGAUGAAAUAACAACAAAGAAAAAACAUACAUAAGUAAAAUUUAGAAUCAAAAUAUCAAACAAUCACACUCUCAGGGCCCAAUUAGAUAUCUCCCAAUCACAUUUACACACCAAAACAAACAAUCAAACAAGAACUCAUUCAAUGAUACAAUGCAUAAAAAUCAAUUUAACGGUAGGCUAAUAUAGGAAUCCGUCAACCAUAACGGCCAAGAGCGACGGAGAAGUCGACAGAAACGCCAAAGAGAAGAAUGGCUAAGCCGGUGAAGUUAAUGAGACGUGACUCAGCGUUUGUGCUCUGACCAAGCAUCGUGGCUCUCUGCAUGAGUCCGGUAAGUGCUGCGACGAUACCCAUAUAAAAUAGAGCCCGACCACCUAAGACGUGCCACGGCAUCAUCCUUGCUCUUGCCCCUGAUGAAGAUUGUGGCGCAAGGAAUGUGAAUGCACCAAGUAGCCACUGUAAAGUUACAUCACCACCACAAAUUUUCAACAAAGCGAUGGUUUAAUUAACGUUAAAAUCCACGUCUAUGAACUGAUAUUAACCUGGAGGCCGAGGAGGAUGAAAGUGGUGAGGCCGAUCCAGGAGUGAAGAGAUACCAUGUCUUUAAGGUUUAGUUUGUCGUGGAAUCUAAAGGCAGCGGAGAUUCCGACAAUACCUAGAACUAAUCCUAUUAAGUGAAGCCCACCGUGAACCAUUUUCUGUACUUGGUGCGAGGCAUAUGCCGUUUUGUACGUCAUCAUCGCUGCACAAUCAUUGUCAAUUAUUGUUUUUAUAAUUAAUUCAUGCAUAAUCACGAAUGUAAUUUUUUUGGAAACCUAAAUCAUUUUAUUGGUUAUAUUAUGUAUAUGCAAGAAAACUACCAUUUUAUCAUAUUUUUUUUUGUUAUUUGUUUAAGUCGUGAUUGAAUUACCUUGGCCGACGAGGAAGAGAAAUCCACAGUACAUGAGAAAUGGGUGCACCUAUAUAUAUCAACCAUUUCCGAACCAAAAAGAGUAAUUAGAAAAAAAUGACAAACUAGUUAAAACAUGACUGAACGGUUUGAAGUAUAUAUUUAUAUACACACAAACUGUAAAGACACAAACUUACAUUUAAAAUCUUAAGGGGAUUGUCCGAGCCAUACUCGAUGCCUUCGCGGUAAUGAAGAAGCCAUAUGAGCAUUAGAACAACGGCUAAUAUGCCAAAGAAGUGAGCCACAAGCGUUGAAAGCGACGAGUGACGCUUAAAAGGUGUUCGAUCUGCUGAGACGUCCAUCUGAUUUUAGUUUGGUUCUCUUGCUAAACACGAUGAUGAGUCAAGCAAUACUGAGAGAGAACAUGACAGAAGGGAAUGUGCUAGAUUGUGUAUUGCGUAUCGGUUCUGUCGGGUACGGAUGAUAUCUUAAAGGGUUAUUUAUACUAAUAUAAUUGAUGUGUGAAAACAACCCAAAACAAUAUAUAAAUAGGACUGCCUUUAAUCAAAAUAUGAAACAUAAAAUCAUACGCAAGUGUUUAAGCCAUAUAUAAAUCUAAUUUAUAAUAUCACCGGAAGACAUUUAUGUUCAUCAAUAUCAUUAGAGCUAGGAACAUUCUUGGUUAUUCUUGGCCCCUAAACUAAAUAUGUCUCGCCGGCCUUGAAGGACAUGAUUCACUUGCUUCUAUUCAGUCCCAUCCCUAGUUCCGGGUUAGGGGAGAUUAGGUCCAUACCCCAAACUUCCCCUAGUUAAAAACAAAAAUCUAAUAUAUAAGACUUAUACAUGCAUAUUUGUUUUGAUGAACUGAAUCGUUCGGUGACCUAUAACUAAUUAACUAUGACCAAAAACAUAACUUAGCUCGACUUUGUUAUUAGUUUAUGAGUAUCACUUAUUUAUAGAAUUUUAAAAUUAGUAUAACUUGGUCAUGCAAGAUAUUGGUGAACGAAUGAAUUGCUUGCGUAUAAGGGUUUGGAAUAAAAAUGAAUGGGGUUUCUACAACGAAAACAGCUAAGGUUACACACUUUUGGAUUUUUUCGUACGUUUGAUUCUAAUCUCAUCUAUCUAACUCACUUUGGCCCUACCUUCUGUUGCCUUUUUCUAGAACCAACCUUAAUUAUUUGAUGUAAGAAAUUAUUGAUCUUUUAAGUUGUAUAAAGAGAGAGCUCCAAGACGGAAAAUAGAGGAAAGAGAUUGGGUCCAGUUACUACGUCCAAUAAAAGCAAAUAUGUUUAUUCUUAAAAUGUGAGAGAGGUAGGGAAGAGUUAAAAGAUGGAAGAAACAAGGGCUACUGAUACAUUUUUGAGCAUAAUAGUAAAUCUUAUAAAAAUUGCAAAAUAUAUAGAUGGAUUCAAGUUUCAACUAAGGUUGAGGCAAGGCAAUCAUCCGCAACCAAAAUAUAUAAGUCGUUUUUCAGAUAAUAAUGAACAUUUGAUAGUUUAUAUAACUAUACGGCUAAGGAUUGGGCACAAACAAUUAAAGUUAAUUAGGAUAAGAUUAUUGAAUUGAACCAGAAUUUCAGCUGAGUAUUAAUUUGGUUUAGAUAGAUUAAAUUCCAAACUAAAACUUUGUACGACUCCACAUCACCGUCCUUUUUUAUCCAGUCAGUGGGAAGAUGGAGUUUAAAUCACAGGCCUAUAUAUGUGGCUAAUGCGCCAAUCAAGUGGAUAUGUCACAGGCGUUUAGAUUUUUUAGCUAAUAACAGUUUACUCUAACCAGGAAUCUCCAACUAAAAACUAGGACUCAUCCUAUAACUCAAUUUACACGCCGUUAAUCUCUGGUUCGCCGAAACCAGGAAACUUAGAAAUUUCUUUUUGACUCGAGAAAACUUUUGGUCAAUAUAUAGACCGACAUGUAUUUUAUUUUAUAAAAUGUCAAUUUAUGGUCAACUAUCGUGACCAAAUAUAUACUUUGAACGAUUCAAAAGUAUGACUAACCUUGCAAAAUAUCGUUUAAAUGUUUUUUGCGAUUAAAUCUUAAUCCUUUGACCCGAAGUAUGUUUCUUUCAAUGUAUGAUCAGAGAAUUGUAUUAUGAUAGUUUUUCAAUUGAAUUCAGCAUAGUUAUAUCAAAGAGUCCAUGGUCAGACUCUCCCUCUAAUUUAAUUUGUUUUACCUCAUUGUAUUUUUUAUAUUUUUUUUUUUUUGAAAAAGGGCAUUCAUACCUCAUUGUAUUUCGUUUCUUUGAAUAUAUGAUUUAACAUAAUCAUUCAAAUAGCAUAAUUAUAUCAAAGCAUCCAUGGUCAAAUUUAGAUGGAGAAGAUAUUAUUUUUCUCAACAAAUCGAGUAUUUGUCAAUUAAUUAUUUAGAUGACACCUGACCAUAUGAGUUCAUGUACGGAGAAGGAAAACUAAGGAUAAUAUUUUUUGUAAACAAUGAUUAAUAUUUGUUUCAUAGUGACGAUAUGUUAAAUAUUGGGCUUUGAUAUAAUUGUAUGGCCUUUAUAAGCUUUCGAGUAUAAUUUCAAUUCCAAAUGGGUCCUUGACAAGAAGCCUCUUGUAUAUGAAAUCAUAUCACCGGUUUGUUGCCCUCACAACGUCUUUAUAUUGCUACGCGAAUCAGACAUUAUUGGUUACCAUUUACUCGGCUAAUUUUUUGGGUUAAUGCACAAAACCAAAUCUCGGAUCUUAGCCGUUGGACCCAGCAACAAAAUAAUUACCGAUAUGCAUGGGAGGAAAAUAUCGCACGUGAAUAUUUCAUGCACUGAUGCUCAUUGGGAUCUUCCAUUAGCUCACGUGCAUUACUACUCUCACGUUAGCAGAAAACUGUGUUAUUCGCUAAUUUGCUCCCAGCAUACUUGUUGGGAUGAUGACCGUUGUGAGUUCCCAAAGUUAACUUUAAAAACAAACAAAAUGUUAUUUAUGUACCUACCAAACAUAUAGUACUAUACAUAACAAUGAUAUUGUAAAUUGGUUUAUUUAUGCAUGGACCCAUCUCAGCUGACAAACACUUAUAUUCAUCUACAGAGGAGUAUUAACGGCGUCAAUGUUGCCGUAAAUUGCGUUGCAGAGAGUAGUUUAGCUGUGAGACUAUGCCAAGGACCAACGGCUACUUGAUGCUGACUUGAAGUAAAUUUCUAUACGUCAGUACUUACCUAACAAAAUUUAAGCCAGACUUAUACAACGUCAGAGUCACAAGCCGAUCAAAUUACUCAUCAUUCACCGAAUCAUUCCCCGAAAAAAUAUCACCCCCCCCCACCCCCCCAACAUUAUGUGUACUUGUGUAGUGUGUAUCUUUUAUACAAAGACAAAAUUAUGUACUCUACAGUUUGGAAGGUCUAGUUCCCUUAAUUUUAUGCUUGAAUAUAAAACAAUCAAAAGUAUGAGAAAUUUUUUUAUAGUCUUGAAUCUUGAUUAUGAGUAUUUAAGGUGCUCUUACCAAUUAAUCUAGUCGAUUCACUGUUUUUUUAAUAAUCCAGAGGUAUUUGGCAGACCGAGACCCAACCGUCUAGUCAUUGGGAGGUUUGUUUAUCGACACCAAAUAGAUCUGGUUGAUCAUAAUGAAAAUUAGAUAUACAUGUCGUAUGACCACAGAAACGGAUAAAUCUGAAUUUAGUUUGUUUCGUUUUCGAAUAUGGGGUGCUUAUCACCUUUCCAAAUUUCGAUGUACCACUCGACCAAGCUUGUGUGGUUGACUAGCUGGUUUUGAUAGCAUAUGUGUAACUAUAAGUCUAGAAUGUUGGGUUUAAUAGAUUUAACUUUGCAGUAUAUUAUGAAUAUAUGCUUUUGAUACCACCAUAGAUUUAACUUCUAGUUCUUGUAGUUAAACAAAGUUGCAAUUACUUCGCUGCUGAUUCGUACCAUACCGCUUUUCUCAAAACAACCGGCAAUUUUCAGGCAUUAAUUGGCUUUUCUCCGCCGUGUCAAACGUUUACAUCUUGGCCACUGCUCCAUGAUGCUACCGUCAGGUCACAGCUGCGUUUUCAACUAUUUUGGCGAUUGGUUUACGCGAUUCUCCUUCGAUCGCGGAUUGAUUUCUUUAUUAAGGGCAAAUCUUAAAAUAUUCAAUCACUUGGUCAUGUCGGGAAUGUAACGGGACGGCAAAUGGGGAGGCUAAUCAAAUUGGCUUUUUAUUUGUUUUUAUUAUCGUAAAGCGUCGAACCAACUUUUUCACCCAAGUGAUUUAACUUUUUCUUUAAAUGGGACCCCUUUUGUUCUCAAGUGUGACUAUUUCUAUCCAUAAAAAAUAAUAUUGGGCUGUGUUAUGGUAAAUAUAAACGAGAAGUACUCUUGGUUUCUAAUUAUUUUCUGCUUUUUGUUCCCUUCACAAUUUUUAACCCUUUUAACUCCUGUUUUAUCUUAGUAUUUUAUAGAAAAAUUAUAAUUGAUACUAAAAAUGUUGUAAUGAUUGAAACAAAUACUUAUACUACAGUAUUUGUAGUAUUUCAUCUGUAUAAAUUUUCUUUCUUUGCUCUGAAAAUAAAAUAAUUUUGAGGUGUGAGUGAGUCUACCUGUGACUAUUUGUCGGGCGGGACACAUGUGUAAGCACCAAAGCACCUUGUGCUUUAUUGCUAUUUUUUGUCAGCUUCUCUCCGUCUUUUAUAUAUCUUUUGUUCUUUUCUUUAUGAUCUCCUAAAUUUCAACGUGAUUAUAUAGAUUUUUCAAUUAUAUAACUACUAGUUAAAUUGUUAAUCAAAUUUUCUGUGAUUAAAUUGAUCUUGUAAUAAAAAGUGUGCUUAGUUAUUAAGUUGAUUAUACUUGUUUACAUUCAUGUCUCAAGAUUCUUUCAGUCCAAUGUACUACCAAUUUUUUUUUGUUUUCUGUUCUUUUUUUUAGUUGUUGUCAACAUGUACUAUUAAUUCAGUGUACUAAAUUUAAAAGUAAUUAUGAAGUAAGUUGACAUUAUAAUAAAAACUUAAAUUCUUAGAAAUAUGAACCAUUUAUAGCCAGACGUACUCUGCAGUCGAUAUCUUGGUAUGCAUGCUAUUUCUCUCUUUCUCUUUCUCAACACACCUCCAUAGCUCGCUCGUCCUCAACACGCUCAGCUAUCCAUUUAUAUCUAUUCACCCCUUUUCCCCCUCGUAAUACUAUACACAGUUGAAAUUAAUCUUCAAGAAAAUGGGGUUUGUAGCUCGAUUUUUAGUUUUCAUGUCACUCUUUACCGGUUUAGUCUCCGGAUUUGCUCUGCAAAAGCUUCCUCUUAUACAGUUCGACGAAGGUUACACACAUCUAUUCGGUGACCAGAAUAUGAUUGUUAACAGAGACGGAAAAUCUGUCCGGUUAAUACUUGAUGAGAGAACCGGUUUGUCUUCUUGGUCCCUCUUGGGUCUUUUUUGUUUCUGCUUUCUUUUUUAAUUAUUUUUACUUAGUGUUAUGUUGACCUGUAAUCAAUUUGCAGGCUCAGGGUUUGUCUCAAAUGAUAUUUACUUACAUGGGUUCUUCAGUUCUUCUAUCAAAUUGCCAGCAGAUUACUCUGCAGGAGUUGUUAUUGCCUUCUAUGUAAGCAUAAAUCUAAUCUCUAUUUCUUUUACUAAUUAAUUAAACAUAUUUCUUGAAGACUUUGUUUCACUAUUUCAAUGGGAUUAGAUAAGGAAUACAAGGGCUAAAUCUUUUUUUUUUUUGUGUGUGUUUAUGCAUGUUUCUCAUUAUCAGCUGUCAAAUGGGGACAUAUAUGAGAAGAAUCAUGACGAGAUUGAUUUUGAGUUUCUCGGGAACAUCAGAGGCAAAGAAUGGAGGAUUCAGACCAACAUAUAUGGUAACGGAAGCACGCAUUUGGGCAGAGAAGAAAGAUACAAUCUUUGGUUCGACCCAACAGAAGAUUUUCACCAGUACAGUAUCAUGUGGUCUCACUCUCACAUCAUGUAAGUUUAUAAACAAAACCAAUUUUAAUUACUAGUUAAUCAUCCUCUUAAGUCUCUGGUUCAGCUUAGAAAAGUUAACCAAGUCACUUGAUAGUUUUGGGCUUUUAUGAGUCUUUUAAUGAUCUAUCAGACUUUUUAACCGUCGCCUGAUGUUUCUAUUAAAAGAAAGCCAAAUGGGUUUUAUGUGAUGAAUUAAAUUUUUUUGUUUCAUUCAACUUUAUACGUAAAGCUAGUGGAGUUUGGUUUCUUGUUCUGGAAACUUUUGUGCUUUACAGCUUUCGUUCCUGGCAAUAUCAGAGACCUAAACAGAGUAUUUUUGGAAGAGAGAAUCUUAAUCCAGUCCACUAAAAAAAACCUGGAAUCUUGUAACCAAAAAUGUCAUAUUUUUAAGAUAAUUUUCAAAUUAUGAUUCUUAUUUUUUUUAUUUAUGGCAGAUUUUAUGUAGACAAUAUUCCGAUCAGAGAGGUCAAACGUACGGCGUCAAUGGGCGGUGACUUCCCGGCGAAGCCUAUGUCUUCAUACGCAACCAUAUGGGAUGGUUCCAAAUGGGCGACCAACGGUGGCAAGUACGGUGUAAAUUACAAAUUUGCCCCAUAUGUUGCUCAGUUCACCGAUAUGAUCCUCCACGGCUGCGCCGUUGACCCUAUGGAGAAGGUUCUGAGCUGCCAAGACGGAGCCGCAGAGGAUCUCCGGCUAGCGUCGGAGAUAACAGAGUCUCAGAGGAAGAAAAUGGACAGCUUGCGGCGGAAACACAUGACUUAUUCGUAUUGUUAUGACCGUACGAGGUACAAGGUGGCUUUGCCGGAGUGUGUGGUGAACCCGGAGGAGGCUAAGCGUCUUAGGGUCUAUGAUCCGGUAACGUUCGGUGGGAUCCCUCACCGUCACGGUCACGGGAAGCACCGGAGCAAGAGCCGCCAGUCGAUAUGAUUUGGUGGUGUGUUUUAUUUUAGCUAGAGGGGUUCUUUUUGGCAUUUUCUAUCUUGUAUAGGAAUAUGAAUUAUGGACUGAGCGAUGGAUUGACAGUACUGAGAUAUUUUUAUUUACCCCCACUAAAAAUUGUCGUGAAACAUAAUAAUAAAANNNNNNNNNNNNNNNNNNNNNNNNNNNNNNNNNNNNNNNNNNNNNNNNNNNNNNNNNNNNNNNNNNNNNNNNNNNNNNNNNNNNNNNNNNNNNNNNNNNNNNNNNNNNNNNNNNNNNNNNNNNNNNNNNNNNNNNNNNNNNNNNNNNNNNNNNNNNNNNNNNNNNNNNNNNNNNNNNNNNNNNNNNNNNNNNNNNNNNNNNNNNNNNNNNNNNNNNNNNNNNNNNNNNNNNNNNNNNNNNNNNNNNNNNNNNNNNNNNNNNNNNNNNNNNNNNNNNNNNNNNNNNNNNNNNNNNNNNNNNNNNNNNNNNNNNNNNNNNNNNNNNNNNNNNNNNNNNNNNNNNNNNNNNNNNNNNNNNNNNNNNNNNNNNNNNNNNNNNNNNNNNNNNNNNNNNNNNNNNNNNNNNNNNNNNNNNNNNNNNNNNNNNNNNNNNNNNNNNNNNNNNNNNNNNNNNNNNNNNNNNNNNNNNNNNNNNNNNNNNNNNNNNNNNNNNNNNNNNNNNNNNNNNNNNNNNNNNNNNNNNNNNNNNNNNNNNNNNNNNNNNNNNNNNNNNNNNNNNNNNNNNNNNNNNNNNNNNNNNNNNNNNNNNNNNNNNNNNNNNNNNNNNNNNNNNNNNNNNNNNNNNNNNNNNNNNNNNNNNNNNNNNNNNNNNNNNNNNNNNNNNNNNNNNNNNNNNNNNNNNNNNNNNNNNNNNNNNNNNNNNNNNNNNNNNNNNNNNNNNNNNNNNNNNNNNNNNNNNNNNNNNNNNNNNNNNNNNNNNNNNNNNNNNNNNNNNNNNNNNNNNNNNNNNNNNNNNNNNNNNNNNNNNNNNNNNNNNNNNNNNNNNNNNNNNNNNNNNNNNNNNNNNNNNNNNNNNNNNNNNNNNNNNNNNNNNNNNNNNNNNNNNNNNNNNNNNNNNNNNNNNNNNNNNNNNNNNNNNNNNNNNNNNNNNNNNNNNNNNNNNNNNNNNNNNNNNNNNNNNNNNNNNNNNNNNNNNNNNNNNNNNNNNNNNNNNNNNNNNNNNNNNNNNNNNNNNNNNNNNNNNNNNNNNNNNNNNNNNNNNNNNNNNNNNNNNNNNNNNNNNNNNNNNNNNNNNNNNNNNNNNNNNNNNNNNNNNNNNNNNNNNNNNNNNNNNNNNNNNNNNNNNNNNNNNNNNNNNNNNNNNNNNNNNNNNNNNNNNNNNNNNNNNNNNNNNNNNNNNNNNNNNNNNNNNNNNNNNNNNNNAUCAUUCCCCGAAAAAAUAUCACCCCCCCCCACCCCCCCAACAUUAUGUGUACUUGUGUAGUGUGUAUCUUUUAUACAAAGACAAAAUUAUGUACUCUACAGUUUGGAAGGUCUAGUUCCCUUAAUUUUAUGCUUGAAUAUAAAACAAUCAAAAGUAUGAGAAAUUUUUUUAUAGUCUUGAAUCUUGAUUAUGAGUAUUUAAGGUGCUCUUACCAAUUAAUCUAGUCGAUUCACUGUUUUUUUAAUAAUCCAGAGGUAUUUGGCAGACCGAGACCCAACCGUCUAGUCAUUGGGAGGUUUGUUUAUCGACACCAAAUAGAUCUGGUUGAUCAUAAUGAAAAUUAGAUAUACAUGUCGUAUGACCACAGAAACGGAUAAAUCUGAAUUUAGUUUGUUUCGUUUUCGAAUAUGGGGUGCUUAUCACCUUUCCAAAUUUCGAUGUACCACUCGACCAAGCUUGUGUGGUUGACUAGCUGGUUUUGAUAGCAUAUGUGUAACUAUAAGUCUAGAAUGUUGGGUUUAAUAGAUUUAACUUUGCAGUAUAUUAUGAAUAUAUGCUUUUGAUACCACCAUAGAUUUAACUUCUAGUUCUUGUAGUUAAACAAAGUUGCAAUUACUUCGCUGCUGAUUCGUACCAUACCGCUUUUCUCAAAACAACCGGCAAUUUUCAGGCAUUAAUUGGCUUUUCUCCGCCGUGUCAAACGUUUACAUCUUGGCCACUGCUCCAUGAUGCUACCGUCAGGUCACAGCUGCGUUUUCAACUAUUUUGGCGAUUGGUUUACGCGAUUCUCCUUCGAUCGCGGAUUGAUUUCUUUAUUAAGGGCAAAUCUUAAAAUAUUCAAUCACUUGGUCAUGUCGGGAAUGUAACGGGACGGCAAAUGGGGAGGCUAAUCAAAUUGGCUUUUUAUUUGUUUUUAUUAUCGUAAAGCGUCGAACCAACUUUUUCACCCAAGUGAUUUAACUUUUUCUUUAAAUGGGACCCCUUUUGUUCUCAAGUGUGACUAUUUCUAUCCAUAAAAAAUAAUAUUGGGCUGUGUUAUGGUAAAUAUAAACGAGAAGUACUCUUGGUUUCUAAUUAUUUUCUGCUUUUUGUUCCCUUCACAAUUUUUAACCCUUUUAACUCCUGUUUUAUCUUAGUAUUUUAUAGAAAAAUUAUAAUUGAUACUAAAAAUGUUGUAAUGAUUGAAACAAAUACUUAUACUACAGUAUUUGUAGCAUUUCAUCUGUAUAAAUUUUCUUUCUUUGCUCUGAAAAUAAAAUAAUUUUGAGGUGUGAGUGAGUCUACCUGUGACUAUUUGUCGGGCGGGACACAUGUGUAAGCACCAAAGCACCUUGUGCUUUAUUGCUAUUUUUUGUCAGCUUCUCUCCGUCUUUUAUAUAUCUUUUGUUCUUUUCUUUAUGAUCUCCUAAAUUUCAACGUGAUUAUAUAGAUUUUUCAAUUAUAUAACUACUAGUUAAAUUGUUAAUCAAAUUUUCUGUGAUUAAAUUGAUCUUGUAAUAAAAAGUGUGCUUAGUUAUUAAGUUGAUUAUACUUGUUUACAUUCAUGUCUCAAGAUUCUUUCAGUCCAAUGUACUACCAAUUUUUUUUUGUUUUCUGUUCUUUUUUUUAGUUGUUGUCAACAUGUACUAUUAAUUCAGUGUACUAAAUUUAAAAGUAAUUAUGAAGUAAGUUGACAUUAUAAUAAAAACUUAAAUUCUUAGAAAUAUGAACCAUUUAUAGCCAGACGUACUCUGCAGUCGAUAUCUUGGUAUGCAUGCUAUUUCUCUCUUUCUCUUUCUCAACACACCUCCAUAGCUCGCUCGUCCUCAACACGCUCAGCUAUCCAUUUAUAUCUAUUCACCCCUUUUCCCCCUCGUAAUACUAUACACAGUUGAAAUUAAUCUUCAAGAAAAUGGGGUUUGUAGCUCGAUUUUUAGUUUUCAUGUCACUCUUUACCGGUUUAGUCUCCGGAUUUGCUCUGCAAAAGCUUCCUCUUAUACAGUUCGACGAAGGUUACACACAUCUAUUCGGUGACCAGAAUAUGAUUGUUAACAGAGACGGAAAAUCUGUCCGGUUAAUACUUGAUGAGAGAACCGGUUUGUCUUCUUGGUCCCUCUUGGGUCUUUUUUGUUUCUGCUUUCUUUUUUAAUUAUUUUUACUUAGUGUUAUGUUGACCUGUAAUCAAUUUGCAGGCUCAGGGUUUGUCUCAAAUGAUAUUUACUUACAUGGGUUCUUCAGUUCUUCUAUCAAAUUGCCAGCAGAUUACUCUGCAGGAGUUGUUAUUGCCUUCUAUGUAAGCAUAAAUCUAAUCUCUAUUUCUUUUACUAAUUAAUUAAACAUAUUUCUUGAAGACUUUGUUUCACUAUUUCAAUGGGAUUAGAUAAGGAAUACAAGGGCUAAAUCUUUUUUUUUGUGUGUGUUUAUGCAUGUUUCUCAUUAUCAGCUGUCAAAUGGGGACAUAUAUGAGAAGAAUCAUGACGAGAUUGAUUUUGAGUUUCUCGGGAACAUCAGAGGCAAAGAAUGGAGGAUUCAGACCAACAUAUAUGGUAACGGAAGCACGCAUUUGGGCAGAGAAGAAAGAUACAAUCUCUGGUUCGACCCAACAGAAGAUUUUCACCAGUACAGUAUCAUGUGGUCUCACUCUCACAUCAUGUAAGUUUAUAAACAAAACCAAUUUUAAUUACUAGUUAAUCAUCCUCUUAAGUCUCUGGUUCAGCUUAGAAAAGUUAACCAAGUCACUUGAUAGUUUUGGGCUUUUAUGAGUCUUUUAAUGAUCUAUCAGACUUUUUAACCGUCGCCUGAUGUUUCUAUUAAAAGAAAGCCAAAUGGGUUUUAUGUGAUGAAUUAAUUUUUUUUGUUUCAUUCAACUUUAUACGUAAAGCUAGUGGAGUGGAGUUUGGUUUCUUGUUCUGGAAACUUAUGUGCUUUACAGCUUUCGUUCCUGGCAAUAUCAGAGACCUAAACAGAGUAUUUUUGGAAGAGAGAAUCUUAAUCCAGUCCACUAAAAAAAACCUGGAAUCUUGUAACCAAAAAUGUCAUAUUUUUAAGAUAAUUUUCAAAUUAUGAUUCUUAUUUUUUUUAUUUAUGGCAGAUUUUAUGUAGACAAUAUUCCGAUCAGAGAGGUCAAACGUACGGCGUCAAUGGGCGGUGACUUCCCGGCGAAGCCUAUGUCUUCAUACGCAACCAUAUGGGAUGGUUCCAAAUGGGCGACCAACGGUGGCAAGUACGGUGUAAAUUACAAAUUUGCCCCAUAUGUUGCUCAGUUCACCGAUAUGAUCCUCCACGGCUGCGCCGUUGACCCUAUGGAGAAGGUUCUGAGCUGCCAAGACGGAGCCGCAGAGGAUCUCCGGCUAGCGUCGGAGAUAACAGAGUCUCAGAGGAAGAAAAUGGACAGCUUGCGGCGGAAACACAUGACUUAUUCGUAUUGUUAUGACCGUACGAGGUACAAGGUGGCUUUGCCGGAGUGUGUGGUGAACCCGGAGGAGGCUAAGCGUCUUAGGGUCUAUGAUCCGGUAACGUUCGGUGGGAUCCCUCACCGUCACGGUCACGGGAAGCACCGGAGCAAGAGCCGCCAGUCGAUAUGAUUUGGUGGUGUGUUUUAUUUUAGCUAGAGGGGUUCUUUUUGGCAUUUUCUAUCUUGUAUAGGAAUAUGAAUUAUGGACUGAGCGAUGGAUUGACAGUACUGAGAUAUUUUUAUUUACCCCCACUAAAAAUUGUCGUGAAACAUAAUAAUAAAAAUAUUUUGAAUAUUUUAUUUGUCACGAAUAAAUUAAUAGAAUUGUUUAUUUGUAAACUAUAAAUUUAGGAAUACAAUGUCAAACUGAAGAAAGUGGCAAUAAAUAAUCAAACAUGAAUAUUCAUAAAAUUAGCAGAUGGAAUAUAAGAUAUCAAUUUUUGUUUUCAUAAGCUAUUCUCAUUCUUCAUAUGAAUUAUGCAUGUACGUCCUCAUAAUUCUUGGUUUUCAACAAAAAUGAGUACGUUUGUUUUAUCUUGUACAAGUAUUUCAAUGUCUCCAAUAAAUAUUACUGACUUUUUGGUCCUGCCAGCAUACAAUAUUUUAUUAUUGGUUGAAUUGUGGUUAGGUAAAUAAUUAAUGAUGUUUUUGUUUAGAAAAUAUAAGAAAUUAAUGGUUUUCUUAAUCUACGUGCAUAGCUGUAAAACGACUUAUAUUAAAAAACGGAGGGAGUACUAUUUAUCUAGUUUGUGUUUAGGCUUCGGCUCUUACAUGGUGGAUCGGUUCACCAGUGGCAAUAAUCGGAAGAUAUUCAAAUUCAUAUCAAACAAUGUAAUAUGUUUUCGGGUUAAUUCAUUAUGUAGCAGUAAAUGCGUUUUUUUCGGAACCGAGCGGAUAGCUGAUAGGAUUUAUCAGAAACAACAAGUGACGAAAAUUCUUUUUGGGAGUGUGUGUUCAAUUUCAAAGGGACAUAACUUCUAAGCUCCACUAAAGCCUACAAUCUGUCUGUUGCAAGAAAAUAAAACAAAACCUAGAAUCUAUCUUGUAGGCCCAUGUUUGAUCCAUAUGUAAAUCUUAUCAUAACAUAUCGGGUCACUAGGCCCAUUUGAUCGAAGAAAAAUCAAUCUUAAUCAUAAUCAGCAUCUUUAAAAAAGAUGCGGAAUCUCGAUUACGUUCCAACUAUGAUUUGCACAAAACGUACCUUAACUCACUAAUGUGAAUGUAAUCUUUCGAAAUUAUUAUCGACGACCGAAAAUAUUAAUUUCCAAUAAAAUUUUCAUGAAAGAGGAAAAAAUGAGAUUGAGACUCAUUGAGAGAGAUGUGAAGUGAUCUGAGUAAGCCACCAUUUUAGACUCUGUUAAAACGCAUGCGUAUUAACUAGGCUAAACUUACCCCUUCUUGUCCUAAAAACAAAACCUAAGAUCUGUCUCUCGUCUUGCCUUUUACGAAGCUUCCCCUUAACACUUUAUACAUCAUCACUUUUAACUAGAUUACACCUCUUUUAUUUACUCAGCUUCACCAUCACGACGUUAUUCUCGUUUUUUGUCAGAUCUGCUCUGUUUCGCCUCAUAAUAAAAACCUUCACAUUUUAAUGGUCAUUCAUUCUAUAAUUUUUUAAUUUAAUUUAAAAAUCCGAAAUUCAACAACUUUCUUCCUGGGUUUUAUCUGAAUCACGUUAAAGUCGACAUCUUUACACUAUUUAGCUCAUUAUAUUUCCUCUGUUUUCUGCAGAUCUGUUUGAAGUAAAACCUUUGCCUUGCGUUUGAAAGAAUCAAACUUUAUUGUUACCACUUACCACCAAAUGGCAAUGCCACCGGGUAACUGGAUCCCCGACGGGCGAGACGGGUUCAUCUCGUGGAUUCGUGGGGAGUUCGCCGCAGCCAACGCCAUCAUCGACUCCCUCUGCCAACAUCUUGUAGCUGUCGGCGAUCAAAACGAAUACGAAUCCGUUGUCUCGACCAUCCAACACCGUCAAGCGAGCUGGUCUCAAGUUCUUUAUAUGCAGCAGUUCUACUCGAUCGCUGACAUCUCUCACUCUCUGCAUCAAGCUGCUUUGAAGCGGCGGCAACAGGGAAGGCCUCAGCAAAGGCAUUAUUACAGUUCUGAUCAGUUUGGAGGAGGAAGGAGAUCAGGGCCUGGAUUUAACAAGCAUCAUCAUGGUGGUGGUGGUGGUGGUGGUUACAGAGGAGGAGGAGCUGAGUCUAUGGUGAGAAACAAGAGUGAGAUUAAAGUAGCAAGUGAUGAUAAGGCAUUGUCUGUUGCUGAGGAGAAGAUAGGUAAUGUGAAUAGUCUUUUGGUGUUGGCUUAUUAGCUUGCUUGCUUGUAAGAAAAGUAAAGUUUUUUUGGCUGUAUAUUGUGGAACAUGUUAAUAGUGGAAGCUCUAGAUUCUUUGAUUUUUCACUUGAUAUUAGACCUUCAUUGAAAUGUUAUGGUUAUGUGUUGUUACUUUCUUUCAGAUAGCAAUCUCAGUUCUGAGAAAAAACAGGAAGAGAAAGAUAAAGAGUGUCCUGCAAGCAUGGCAAAGACUUUUGUUGUUGAAGAGAUGUAUGAAGCAAAGUUGGUGAGUUGUAUGUUCUUUAAUGUUUGUUUUUACUUUUUUUUUUUUUGGGAAACUGAUUGUUUAUACUUCACACCUACACUGUAUUUCUUAUUUUUUGUUUUUGUUUUUUGUGUUUAAUGUUUGUGAGUUGGUGAGUUGUAUGUUCUUUAAUGUUUGUUUACACUUCACACCUACAAUACUAACUUCUGUAUUUUUUUUGUGUGUGUUUAGGUCAAUGUUGUUGAAGGAUUAAAGCUAUAUGAAAAAAUGGUUGACGUCAGUGAAGUUUCUCAACUGGUAUCUCUUGCAAACAAUCUGAGAAACGCUGGAAGAAGAGGUCAACUCCAAAGUAAGAAUCUUUUUUUAUACACUCUUCUAAUGAUUUGAAUCUCAGGUCUUGAAACCGUUGUUUCAUGAUCAAAAACAGGUGAGGCAUAUGUGAGUUAUAAACGUCCAAAUAGAGGACAUGGACGCGAGAUGAUCCAGCUCGGUCUCCCUAUAGCUGAUACAAUGCCUGAUGAUGAUGAGAGUGCCAAAGUCGAAGGCAAGUUUUGUUAAAUAAAUGUUUUUUUUUUUAACUUUGUAAUAACUGUUUUGGUUAAAACAUGAGUUUUUUUUGAUGCAGAUAGAAGAAUAGAGCCAAUCCCAUCGUUUAUUUCAGACAUCAUUGAACGUUUGGUCUCGAAUCAAAUCAUACCUGUGAAACCAGACGCAUGCAUCAUUGAUUUCUUCAACGAGGUUAGAUUAGUUUUUCUUAACUACUUAAUCUGUUUUUCUUAUAACUAAGUGCAAGUCUUGUUCUGAAACUAUAGGGAGAUCACUCUCAGCCUCAUAUGUUUGUUCCCUGGUUUGGACGACCGGUUGGGAUCUUGUCCUUGUCUGAAUGUGAUUUCACAUUUGGAAGAGUCAUUGUCUCUGACUAUCCGGGAGACUACAUGGGCUCUCUCAAGCUGUCUCUCACUCCAGGGUAUAUAUAACUGGUUCAAGCUUCACUCUCAAGUUUGUUAAGUUUUUGAUCUUUCAAUCCGUUUAUGUUUGAACAGAUCUCUUCUUCUGGUGGAAGGCAACUCCGCAGAUCUUGCCAAGUUUGCUAUUCACUCAAUCCCAAAGAAGAGGAUUCUCAUCACUUUCACCAAAUCUCAGCCGAGAAACUCUAUAGGGGGAACUAACUGGAGUCCACCGCCUAGCAGAUCGCCGCAGAAUCAUCACAACAGUGUUCAGCCGAUAUUCAAAGUACCUUCUCCUCCGCUUGCCUCUCCAAUGCCGUUCCCAGGUGGUGUCUUACCUGUGGGAACGAGCUGGCCACUGCCACCACCUCAGCCAAGAGUGCCUGUCCCUGGCACUGGUGUGUUCCUCCCACCAGGUUCAGCCCAACAACAGGUUGUACUAGGCUCCACAGAGAAAUCCAACGACAGCAAUGGAAACAACUGUGCAGAAGGAAAGAUAUAGAGAGCAGAGAUAGAAACUUGGAGCUGCAGUUUUUAAACUAUAAAAAGAGCAGCUACUGCUAUUAAACGUUAUCUCUUUUUGUUUUGUUUUUUUUUUGUUUGCUACUUCAGAAAAUUGUUUAUUAGGAAAAAAGAGAACGAGCGAAAUUUACAUGUUUUGACGUUUUCUUCUCUCUGAAAUCACUUAGUUAUCAACUUUACAAUCAAGCGUGCUUGUGAACUAUACUUGUCAAUACCGCUCAUCCACAAAAUAGAGUUGUAUCCAUGCCAUUCCUAUAGUGUCCAUCGUUUUCAUCUACAAUAAUCAUAUGUUUGGGCUUAUUGCUGGUUUAGUCCAGUUCCUCUAGUAACUUAGUAAGUGGGCUUCAGACUACUAAUUAUAGCGUAUAUAUAACUGGUUCAAGCUUCACUCUCAAGUUUGUUAAGUUUUUGAUCUUUCAAUCCGUUUAUGUUUGAACAGAUCUCUUCUUCUGGUGGAAGGCAACUCCGCAGAUCUUGCCAAGUUUGCUAUUCACUCAAUCCCAAAGAAGAGGAUUCUCAUCACUUUCACCAAAUCUCAGCCGAGAAACUCUAUAGGGGGAACUAACUGGAGUCCACCGCCUAGCAGAUCGCCGCAGAAUCAUCACAACAGUGUUCAGCCGAUAUUCAAAGUACCUUCUCCUCCGCUUGCCUCUCCAAUGCCGUUCCCAGGUGGUGUCUUACCUGUGGGAACGAGCUGGCCACUGCCACCACCUCAGCCAAGAGUGCCUGUCCCUGGCACUGGUGUGUUCCUCCCACCAGGUUCAGCCCAACAACAGGUUGUACUAGGCUCCACAGAGAAAUCCAACGACAGCAAUGGAAACAACUGUGCAGAAGGAAAGAUAUAGAGAGCAGAGAUAGAAACUUGGAGCUGCAGUUUUUAAACUAUAAAAAGAGCGGCUACUGCUAUUAAACGUUAUCUCUUUUUGUUUUGUUUUUUUUUUGUUUGCUACUUCAGAAAAUUGUUUAUUAGGAAAAAAGAGAACGAGCGAAAUUUACAUGUUUUGACGUUUUCUUCUCUCUGAAAUCACUUAGUUAUCAACUUUACAAUCAAGCGUGCUUGUGAACUAUACUUGUCAAUACCGCUCAUCCACAAAAUAGAGUUGUAUCCAUGCCAUUCCUAUAGUGUCCAUCGUUUUCAUCUACAAUAAUCAUAUGUUUGGGCUUAUUGCUGGUUUAGUCCAGUUCCUCUAGUAACUUAGUAAGUGGGCUUCAGACUACUAAUUAUAGCAUGAUGCAGUCUGCAAGGUUGACUUAUGUGACCCUUGAAUCUCCAUUGAAUCUAUGGUGGUCCUAGACAGUACCCCUACUGUAACAUCAAUCCGGUUAAGAAAGUCUCAAACCGGACGGUACAGAUAGAGACAUGUCUAUUGUCAGUUUCUGGAGUUAGGUCAGCAUUAUCUUUGAGUCAAAAGUUUUGACCAAUUAGCGUUGGGGAUGGGAAUUCUCUAGCUGUAUUCACAAUCACACAUAUCUUGUAUUUACCUAACGAAAAAUUAUUGAAACAGCACUGGGUUUGCUGAUGUAAUUGCCUAAAUCAUUUUAUUCAACAACCUCUUCUUCCGCCUCCUCGAUGCAAUAUAUGACUGACUAUAUACUAUUAGAUCCAUGUGCUGUUUGUGUCUUUACGUUAACAAAACGUAAGCUCUUUUCAGGUUACACGUGUGUUGAUUAGUCUGUGUAUGAUGAAUGGAAAGCAAAUGCUUCCCAAAGAAACUGAAUCAUGUUGUCAGCUACUCAUUGAUCUCAAGGGGAUUCUUCUCGUAAUGAAUUGGCGAUUAGAGAUCUAUAUAUCUAUAACUUGGACCAUGUAAAGUACAACAUGAAUUUGUUUUGCAUGUUUUCUGUUGAUAGAAGUUUUGAUAUUAUUAGGAACGUGAUUCAUUAUUGUUCAAUGUCAUUGGUUUGUAGUCUUCUUAAUGAUCAUUACUUUGUCACUAAUCUUCUUACAAUUGUAUGAAGUAAAAACAAGUGUAAACAGAGAAAUAAGAAUAAAGGAAGUGGAGAGGAGGAGCCAUUUGAGAAAUGAUGCAUAUAUUCAUAUAUACUAUCUUUCUCUAAUCAAACCCCUUCUGCCUUUUGUGAUGAUCACAUUUUAUCCUUUUCUCUUUCCACUAAUAAUUUUUUUUUUCCAGUUCUCAUUUACAUGAUUACAUCUUUAACUUCUUGUAUAAGUUGAAUCUAUAUAAUAUACGAUAUAAUAAGCAAUUAGUAUCCGGACAUGUGGGGUCGACCACACGCCCAUUUUAGUUUUAAAUUAUCUUAACCCUUCAAAACAAAUUAGAGAACACAAUCUUCAUCAUUUCCUUGUUAUUUCUUUAACGCAGAAUCCAUGCAAGUUCUCAAAUGAUAUGUGUCAUUUUUGCGUGUGUGUUUUAUUGAUUUGUGUAAUAAUCAUAUAUAAAAUGCAUAUAACUAACACAUACGCAAAUUGAAAUUAUAUUCAUGAACCAAGUAUUACUAAGUAUUUUUUUAAUCGCACAUCCGAAAAAUAAUUAAAGUUCAGCGAGCCAUAGGAAAUAAAAACAAACGUGUUCCUAGAAUAAAAUAUGUUUAGAUUUUAACAACCUCCAUGGAACAGGAGACAAACACAAUCUUUUUUAUGACUACUCCAUUGUCAAUCUUGUUUUUUUGACUAAAAACUCCAUUGUUUUCUAAAACCCUUUGUAAUACUUCCUUGUUUUUCCUUUUUUGCCUUGGAAGUGUUGUAUUUAGGAUUACAACUUUGUAAGUUCCUUUUUUCAUAUUAUAUGAUAUUAACGUUUUAGCAAAAAAAAAACUCCAUUGUUGAUCUUUAUAUAUUGUUUGUUUAUCAUUGAUGCGCCAAGACAAUAUUAUUGUACAACUUUGCAUGAAAUUUAAUAAUUCAUAUAUGGAGUGGUUAGAAUUUAAACUAUCGGCUAAUAAUUCAUUGUUUACCAGUACUGGUCGCCUUUUUUGCUGUUAACCAAAAUGAUUUUGACUUCUUUUUUUAUAUCAGCACCCACCUAAAUUUAUUAGAAAUUGACUUCUCUGUACACUGAUCUUGUUAUGUUUGUAUGUUUAUGGUCAAGUAUGGGUUAAGAUACACACAUAAAAAUCAGAAUAUAAAUAAAUAGUGUCAUAAUAAUUGCAUAUUUGAUUAGUAGUUGCGGAGCGCAAUAAUGAAAGGUUUGGAUAGGAUUCUAACUUUGUGCCGAUUUAAUAAAGAGAAUAAGAUUUUCAACUUCUUAAUGGAAACUAGUGGAGUGGUGUGACAUUGGCCACCACCACAUCCUCCUUUUGAUUAGGCCACUUUGGCGUAUUUUUCUUGUAAAAAAAACAUUACAACUUUACAUUAAUGCAAAGCUCCAUACACCCAAAAAAAAAGAAGAAUUUAUGUUUGCAAGUGCUUUAACUUUUUCUUCUCAUGAUAAAAGCUUCAUUGCAAUGUCGGUAUUAGUCUAUUCAUUGCAAUUGUUUUGCUUAGAAAAUCAACUAGUUUAUAAUUUAUACCACUUUAAUCAUAUGAUGCAUAUACUAACUUAAUAGUUAAUACAUAUUGGUUGGUUGGUCCACGACUGGCAUAUUCUAGUAACAGCUCAAAUCAUACAACGUAUGCAUAUUAUACACUAUGAUGACACUAUACACUAGGGUAAUGUAAUGCAUAUUAUAUACUUCGAAUACAACAUCUCAUUAAAGAAGCCAAAUCUCAUUCCUUUUUUCCUAAUUGGCUCCCCUUUUUUAUAUUUUUUCAUGUAACAUAACAGGAUAUUAAAUAACAUUUUAAGUAACGGCCAAAAAAUUAACAUUUAUGUAAUAUGACAAAAAGAAGCUCGGUUUUUUUUUCUCAUUAAAGGAAAAAAACUUCUUUCUUUAUACAUUCUUCAACAUAACCUCUUCUCUCUUUUCUUGCAACUUUAGCUCGGAAUUCUAUGCUUCGCUGAUCAAUCUUUCUCCUCUCUGCAAAAGUAAUGAGAAAAGCAUUUUUCUAUGUUAAGAGCUUCAGAUCUGAUACUUGUUAACUCUGCUGACUAGUGUUGUUUCUUUGAUUUUUUCAAGCAGACAUUGUUCUCACAAGCUCUGCUCUCUCUGUUCUGGUUCAAGAUUCUAACUUUUGAGAGAAAAGUAAGCGAGAUAGAGAAGCAAAACUCGGUGAAAUGCUUGAGAUUGGAAGCCCCACGAGUCUCUGUUUCCGUACAAACACUACUUGUAAUGCUCUGCUUCAAGAGCUUCAGGUCUCUUCUUCAACCUUUCUCCUCUGUUUCUUGAUAACGGUCACUAUAGGACAAAGUCUUCUCCUUUUUUAGGCUUAAGGGUUUACUGUGAACUUUAUCUCUCGUUUUUGGAUUUGGGUUUUUUUGUGUAGUAUUCAAAUUAUAGGAUAAAGUCUUCACCUUUUCUUCUACAUUUAGGGUUCUUGAAAACGAUGCUUCACAGAACAACUCUGUUUUUUUCUUUCUAUAGAAUAAUAAAGUCUUCUCCUUUUUUAGUUUAAGAGUUACUGUGAACUUGGUCUCUCGUUCUAGAAUUUGGGGGUUUUUGUGUAGUAUUCAAAUUACAUGAUAAAGUCUUCACCUUUUUUCUUCUACAUGUCUCUGUAAGAACUCUGUUUUUGAUGGGUUUAAUGGUAAAUUUUGUUUUUUGUUUUUGGGUAUGGAGCAGAAGAUAUGGGUUGAUAUUGGUGAGAGUGACGCUGAGAAAGACAGGAUGCUAAUGGAGUUGGAGAAGGAGUGUCUAGAAAUCUACAGAAGAAAAGUAGAUGAAGCUGCAAACUCCAAGGCACAGCUUCAUCAAUCACUUGUAUCAAUUGAAGCUGAGAUUGCUUCUAUAAUGGCUGCUCUUGGUGUCUUAAACAUCCACUCACCGGUAUGUGCAAGUCUUAUGACUACUAUCUUGGAAACAAAAGGGAAAGUUUUGAUCUUUUUUAAAUUUUGGUUAUUGCAGAUUAAAGAGAAAGGUUCAAAAUCAUUGAAAGAGAAGCUUGCUUAUGUGAGGCCUCUGCUUGAGGAAUUGAGGUUGCAAAAAGAUGAAAGAGUGAAGCAGUUUGUGGAUGUUAAGGCGCAGAUUGAGAGGAUGAGCGGUGAAAUCUCUGGUUACAGUGCCAUGAUUGGUUCUUUGACUCUUGAUGAUGAUCAAGACUUGACUCUUAGGAAGCUUAACGAGUAUCAAACACAUCUCCGCUCUCUCCAGAAGGAGAAGGUGGGAAGAUUUGUUUAUCAUGAAUGCAUAAGAAGAUGGAUGAAAUACUCAUUUGUUCUUUGUUUUUAUUUGCAGGCGGAUCGUUUAAACAAGGUGUUGGAUUAUGUGAAUGAGGUUCACUGUCUAUGCGGUGUUCUUGGAGUUGACUUUUGUCAGACUGUUAGUGAGGUUCACCCGAGCUUACAUAGGACUAACCACGAGCAGUCUACAAACAUUAGCGAUGAGACGUUGGAUGGUUUACAGCACAUGAUUGAAAAGCUGAAAACUGAGAGGAGACUCCGUUUUCAAAAGGUUAGAUAGGUUAAAAUGUCUGCAAUAAUGGUUAUGAUUAGGAUUUUAACCUUUUUGUGUUGCAGUUGAAGGAUGUGGUGGAGUCACUUUUGGAGCUAUGGAAUCUAAUGGACACACCUCAAGAAGAGAGAAUGAGAUUUGCAAGAGUCAGUUGUGUUGUGAGAUCAUCUGAAUCUGAUGUCACUGAGCCAAACAUCCUUUCUACUGAAACAAUUGAACAGGUUACUACUACAAACUUUAAAUGUCAUUAAUCUCAUUCAAGAUCUCUGAGUUUGUGUAUUUGCCUUCUACGUUAUUAGGUUUCUGCAGAAGUAGACCGUUUCAACAAGCUGAAAUCUAGUAGAAUGAAGGAGCUUGUGAUGAAAAGAAGGUCUGAGUUGGAGGAUCUUUGCAGAAUGGCUCACAUUGAACCUGACACAAGCACAUCUCUUGAGAAAUCAACUGCACUGAUUGAUUCUGGUAAAAAGUUAACAAGAGUUUUAUGUUAUUAUCCUCACAACUGGUUCUCUUGCUGAUGAUCCUGACGUUUCUUCAGGGUUAGUGGACCCUUCAGAGCUUCUUGCUAACAUCGAAGCGCAGAUAAACAGAAUCAAAGAAGAGGCACAUAGCCGGAAAGAGAUUAUUGAUAGGAUUGACCGUUGGCUAUCUGCUUGUGAAGAGGAGAACUGGCUAGAAGAAUACAACCAGGUAAGAAAACUUUUCUUGAAACUCUGGUUUGUUGAAGGGUGUAACUGAGUUAUAGUACCUUGUUUGGUUUCAGGAUGAGAACCGCUACAGCGCUGGAAGAGGAGGACAUGUGAACCUAAAGCAUGCAGAAAGAGCUCGUGUUACUGUAAACAAGAUUCCAUGUAUGUUUUUCUUGUCUCUUGUCCACUACAUUCACAUGAGAUCUUUUUAGCUUAUGUUUAUUGUUUUUCUGAAGCAAUGGUUGACAAUCUCAUCAAGAAAACGCUUUUAUGGGAGGAUCAAACAGAGAAGUCAUUUCUAUACGAUGGUGUAAGUAAAAAGUAAACAUUAACGCAGAUACAUUCUUAGAUUUUGAAAGUUCACUCCUUUGACUAUGGUUACUUGUUUUCCUACAGGUUCGAUUGGUAUCCAUACUUGAAGAUUACAAACUGACAAGGAAGCAACAGGAAGAGGAAAAGAAACGUUACAGGGUUUGUCAUAAUGCUCUCUUUAAAGGUUUGUAAUAUGGCUUGCAUGUGUUAAAACGAGCUUGUUAUUUCCUUUGCAGGAUCAGAAGAAGAUGCAGGAUCUGUUACUAAACCGGGGGGAGUCCAUUUAUGGAUCAAAACCGAGUCCAAGAAGAAGCACCAGCAUAAGAAAGGCUAAUGGUUACAGUGGGAAUGUAUCUAUGCCUCCUACGCCGCGCAGAAACUCAGCAGGAGCAGCAAACAGCGAGAUUAUGAUGACGCCAAGAUCUUACUCGGGUCAUCAUGGCCAAAAUGGUUAUUUCAAGGAAGUGAGGAAACUCUCAACAGCUCCUUUGAACUUUGUGGCUAUACCAAAGGAAGAUUCUGCUUCUACAUACACUUACUCUGAACCAGAUUCGCCGUUACAUAACUGAGUGUCUGUUUGAAGCAGUUAACGGAGUAGGAGUUGGGAGGUUAGAGAUGAAUGUGAUCAGAAGGAGGUGUAAUUUGUUGACAUAUUAAUGACCGUUAUGUGUGUGUGUGUGUGUGUGUGACACUUUGAGUUGACUUUUUGUGACUGACUUUAGGAUAUUAAUAGUAGAAGAGUAGAAACUGAUGGAUGUUAUGUUCUUAUUGCUUCAAGAUUGUCUUUUCUUUUUGGUGUGUUGGUGAAUUUGUGUAAUGUGUGUGUGUGUAUAUGGUGCUCUUUGUUUGCUCACCAGAUGCAGGUAUUGAGAGAUAUUGUUUGUUUGAUUACAGAGCAAUGGUCAUCUUCUUCUCUUGGUUUUGACUAUGUAGUGGUUUCCCUUCUGUUUGAGGUUUGUCAGAGACUUUUCAAUUUGAAAAAUCACUCAACGAGCUUUCUCCAAAAAGCUCUUAUCGGUAUUGAAAUGCCCAAUAACAAUAUAUAGUCCUUCUGGGCCCAUAGACGAGUUGAGAUGUUCUUUUUUGUAGAUUACUUUCUUUUUAGUCAACUAAUAUGGGUUUACGAAUAUUAUAUAAUUUAUUUGUAUUAUUUUCUAAAAGGAACUAUUACAAGUUUUAUUGACUUUGAUUACGUCAUUAUAAUUUUUAGUAACAAAAUCUCAAAAUAAAGAGACAAAUUCAGUGUUGAGUUAUUUCCGUAACCAAUUGUCUUUUCAUUAUUCGAUUACAAAAUUUUUAAAUUAGAUAUGCAGUAAUAAUUCGUUGUGAAAACAAAUAAUUAUGUAUUUUUGUUCAAAAAAGCAAAGACAUGUAUUUAUAGUCCACGGUGCAUUUCAACUACUUAAAAAUUAUUUUCGCAUAAUAUUCUGAUUGGUUAGCAGUAGUGGCCACAAAUUAAGCGUCAGCUAGUUGUCUUGUCAAAACUCAAAACCCACCGACGUAAAAGUAGGAUUAAUAAAGACAAUUAAGGAGUGAAGCCAGUACUAAUUAAGGACAUCAUUAAAUAAAAAUACACGCAAUAAACCCCUAGUAAUAGUAACAAGAUUAUUGCAUUAAAAAUAAGAAGAACAUUAAGGAUGACAAGAAGAAUAACAUUAGGAGUGAAAAUGAAAUGGAACUAGAAUUAUGCUACUUUUAACUAAGGAUUUAGUUAAUGAUUAGUGAUAAAACUUUUUGUUAUUGUUAACCCAAGUCUUGAAAAGAUAACGAGUAACACCAAUCCUUUCGCAGAAGACACUUAUCUCUUCUCUAACCGCUCUCUUAUCCUUCAACGUCCAUCCUAGCUUCGCCGCGUAAUCUCUCAUCGCCUCUCUUUGCUCCGCCGUGAAUUUCGACUUCCUCCGACGCUUCACCGUCACCCUCUCUUCCGUAGAAGUCUCCUCCGUGUCCUCCUCCUCCUGCUCUUCUUGCUCUUCUCUGUCCUCCGCAGCUGCUUUCCAUUUCAGCCUCGCCAGCUGUUUCACGCGCCUCAAGCUCGUGAAAGGGAACCGCGCGCGAGUAACUUGACCAGAAGGUUGUACUUCAAUGCGACGGUGGUAGCUCCGGUGGCAACCACAGGCGGCGCAGAGAUCUCCCGUGGCUGGUUGAGAGUACUCGCGGCAGCCGUCGACGGCGUAAGAGCCGAGCUUGGCCGCGUGGUUGCGCAUGCAUUCUCUGUAGAGACAAGAACUCUGCAUCUCUUGUUUUUCUUUCUCUCUAAUAGUUGUUUUUGAGAGUUUUGAGUAAAUAAAACUUGGUUUUAGGCUUUGGUUUGGGUUAAGAUAUGAUAUGCUGUGUGUGUGUCAGAAAGUAGGAGUUGGGAGUUACAAAAAGGCAAAAAUUACUGCCUUAAGAUUUUGUACUUACAUGUUUAUUAGGUGUCAUAAUAAAUGUGAAACCUCUACUUUUUGAACUGUUUUACUGGCUUUUGCUUUUUUCUUACGUCCAAUAAUUUUCAAAAUUGAUUUCAUAUCUUAACUUAAGCUCAUAGAGUUGUCAUUUACCCAUAAUUAUUGUUCAGAAACCGGUUGUAGCCAAGUUUUAGCUAGUGUGGUGAAAUGGUUUUGAUAGCUUCUAACAAAUAAGUAAGAGAUUAGAGAAACCAGUAGUAACCAAAAAAUGUAGUAGACUUUUUUUUUUUUUGUAAAACAAAAUGAAGUAGACUUGUUGACAAAAAAUAGUUGUAUUAAUAAAUUAAAGUAUCUUUUCAUUUUUGGCAUCUAAAGAAAAAUACCUAUAGACAAAUCUAUAAACUGUUUUGUAGUAAUAAGAUUUAUUAAUUUUAAACUAAACCAAUCAAGAAAAUAUUAAUUUAUUAGUAAUGAAUAAUAUCAUGAGUUUGGAUUGUAUGAGCAACUGAGUGGGUCACAUGUAUUCUAAAUAUGAUAACCAGAAUAUUUAUAGUUUAAAUAAAAAAAUAUUGUAAACACUAGUCACAUGUUUUCUAAAUACAUUGAGAAACAAAAAUUUCAACUAAAUGCUAAUAGUCACAGUAUUGAUACUUCAAAAAGCAAAGAUGAGUUGAUCUUAACCACUCAGAUUUCAUUUGUAAGGAAAAGAGUCCGAAAAGCUUUCUUUUUCUUAGAUGAUUAGCAAAACCGGUUAUGGAUUUUCAAGCAAUUGUGUGACCCACAAGUUGAAUAUCUUGGCCGCAUGUUUAUUGCAUCUACUUUUCAUUUGUGUAAUUAGCAAACUAAGUGGUUAGUUUACAGUUAAAUGAUAACAAUCACAUCCUAUAGAGACAAUCUAAUCAAAUAUAAAAAAAAAUUCAUAAACAGACGUCUCUCUCUCUGUUAUCUUUUCUCUGUCUUAAACUCCCACCCUAAUUUCAAACCACACGUAUUACCUUAGUACUUGGUAGCAUUAGAUUUCAAACCACUUGCAUUCCUUACUACUCUGUUUGUCUCUAAUCAUGUUUAUUCUCUGUAUUAGUAAUUAAAUUUGGAUUCUUAAGGAGAACAAAUUCAACGACUAGUACAAAUUAUUGCACGAUCAGUGGUAAUCUGAGAAAUAAAAAACAUUUAAUUGAAAAGAAUUAUCUGUUACAACUUACUAUUACAAGUCAGUGAAAUGUUUAUAACGAAAACAGAAGGAAGGAAAAAAAUACAAAAAAAAAAAGAAGAAGAAUUCAAACUUCCCUGCAGAUUUUCUAAGUCGCUUUCUUCCUCUCAGACAAACAAACAAACAGACCUCCAACAAAAAAGUAAAGCAAAGUAACGAUAACUAAUCAUCUGAUGGUGACGAACUUGUUAGUCCCAUGUCUUGCCCAAUGGCUCUUAAGAUCAAUCGGGCUCCCAAAGUUAAACCCAUCAGAAGCAAGUUUCUCAAGCACCUUCUUAAACGCGCCUUGACUCAUCUUCCUCCCCGAGAUCCUCGCCCCACGCCGCUUAGUACUCAUCGGCAACGGAUGCAUCGAUAUGUUCGUGGUGCAACACGCAGAUUGCCACCCUCCACACCCCCAACGGUAGCAUUGCUGAGGAGCUCCAGUGCAGGUACAGACCGGUACGGGUAAACCGGAAAUGUCCAUGUUCACUCCGUUGAUAACCAGGUCGAAGCUUUUCUUAGCCGGUUUGACUCGCGAAACGUUAGCGUUGUUGCUGUCACCGUUCUCCUCUUUCGGUUUCCGAGGCUUCUUCGACUUUGUUGGGGCCCCACCAGCUUUCGAAUUAGGCUUUCUCUUCUUGGUCUCGAUAAUGUCCGGUUCGCAUUUAACCGGGUGUUCCUCGGUUUGAUGAUGGUGAUGGUGGAGAUUCAUGUGCAUCGAUGGGGAUGAGGAAGUUUGGGGGAGGACAUUUCCGUAAUUAGGAGUGGUUGUGACGGGUAACAUGUUGAAGAACUUGUCUUUGUGUUGGUUAAUCCAAUUGUAGCUCAUGUGAGGCUCAGGGUGGUGGUGCUGGUGGUGGUAUGAACCGGUUUGGCCGAUCAUUAGAUUAGGAUCUCGACCGGGUAGAAACGGUUUAGUGUUCCGAUCAAUGGUUGGCAUUAGCUGCAAACCGAGGUUACCUUUGAACGAUGUAGCAGCCGCUGGUUCGUAGUAACCCCAAUUGCGAAACCCAUCAUCAUCCAUCGCAAAGAUCUACAAAAAAAAAAGUUUCAAAUAAAAUAAAAAACAGAUUCAGAUCCAAAUUCAGACAGAACAUAAAGCUCAGUUUCUUUCCUGUUCGUGUCGGAAUGCAGCAGAGCAAAAUUAACAUUUCUUAUACCAAUAGGUAAAAAACGUAUCAGAUCUUGUGGAAACUAACAUGCAGAUACAAAAUAGAGAUUAUAGAUCUGGAGAGUCCAGAGCUAGAUCUAAGGAAACUAGACAUGGAUCGAGUAUUUCAACAGCCAAAAUCUAAUGAAACUGUAUAUAUAUAUAAAGAAAAAGAGAGGGGGCAACAGUACACAGAAAGGUCCCAUUGUAAAUUCAAAGGAGAGAGAGACAUGAUAGUAGAUGGUAAUGGAUUAGGAGAGAGAAAACUUACAUGAGAGAGAUUUGGUUAAACAACAAGCGGGUUUCUUUAAGGGAAUUUUUUUUUCCCUUCUGGAGAGAGAGGAGAGAGAAACCUGAGAGAGAGAUUGGGGAAAGAGAUUGUAAGAGAGAGGAGAGAGAUGAUAUGAUAAGGAGAAGGGGAAAAAAAAAAAAGAGAUCUGAAGAAAGGGAAAGGGUUUUUAUUUUUGAGUGGAACAGAAGAGAACCCUAAAAUUGAAACAUUUUCUAAUUAAAAAUUAUUAUCUGUUUCUAAAAUAAAUAUCCUAAAAGGCUUCUUUCAGACUAUUUUUAUGUUUGGUCUGUGAAGGAACAUAAAAGAUAAGGAAAGCCAUUUGAGAAGAAGACAAAAAAACCAAAGCCCACGCACAUUAAAGUCUUUCCUUACACAUCUUUUCAUUACCAAUUUUUUAAAAGGCAACGAGAUCAUUUGAUUAAAGGAGAUUACGAUGGGUAGAGGACAUACAAUCUCAUUUGCAGAGAGAAAAGGAAGGCCUUCAUCCCGAGACAGGUAAUUUAAAUAAUUUAUUUUUUACUCCAAACUUUUUCAGAAAUCUGAUAACAUAUUAUAUUCACAGAUUAACAACCUCGAAAAUAUCGACCCAGCGAUGAUACAAGCCAAUAAAGAAGAGACUAACACAUAGGUUUACCCCACCUACGCCAGGUACAAAACUUUUAAUUUAAUAGCAAUACCACAAUAUUCAACUAAACGUUUGCUGACUAACUAUUCUUAUCCAAUUUCAGGUCCUUUCUUUCUCAUGACCCUCAAAACAAUCGGAUCUGCAAAGACUUAAUCUGCUUCCUACAUUAUCUAUUUUACUUACAGCUUUUUUGGCUUUUAAGCAUUUGCGUAAACUCGAUCUCAAGCAAAAAUAAUGACUACCAACACACUUUUUUGUGUUCAAACAAACAAUACCUACAUCUAAUAUAAUAUUUUGGAUAAAGAAUUUCUUAGAAAAUAACCCGGGCGUAGCCCGGGAACUGACCUAGUUUUUUUAAAAGGCAAUGAGAUCAUUUGAUUAAAGGAGAUUACGAUGGGAGAGGAGACUAUACAUUUAUUGAAUGAAUAUUAUUCUUACUAUAAUCUUUUGUUACAUAUGGGUCGUGGAUAUAACAUGUUUACUAUUUAUAAAAAAAAACAUUUCCAAUUCUAGUUGUGUAGAGCACGAACAUUUUGGUAAUAGAUAUACUUUCUAUGUUCUGUGUUUCCAAACUGAGACAGACCCUUUUAAAAACUAUCGAGUUGCAUCUGUUUCAUUCCCAUAUUCUAUACACUUGCAUCGAUCAUAGUCAGAGCUUGUCCCUCACAACAUUCUAUUCAAUCAGAUUCAAAUUCAAAUAAACAUAAACUGUAAAAUGGUUUCAUCACUACCUGAGAUUAUCCAUCCAUAGAUCCUCAUCAUUCUUAGGCCGCUUUCUCUUUUCUCUUCUUGGACGUAAGAUUCCUACGCAACUCUUUUUUCAGCUCUCUGUUUUGCUCCCUCACACGUUCCACUUCUUGCUCCGCUCUAUCCAGCUUGAAGGUGAGAAACUUUCUUUCGUUGUGCAUCUCUGUCACCAAUGAAACCAAAGACGCAGCCUUUUGCAUUGACGGUUUCUGAUCCCAUUUGCUCAACUUAGUCUCGUCUUCACUAACGAUCGUUGCCAAAACUGAAUCAACUAAAGAUUCAUGCUUCUUAAUUACAGAAUACACGUGUCUCAGUUCUUGAUUUUUUUCUUGAACCCGACAAGCUGCUUCCCUGGCCCUUUCUUCUUAUUCUUCAGAGCCUGCGCGUUGAUACUCGCCUCAGAUCUAACGAGGUCGAUGACUUGAUCUUUCUCCUUCAAUCUUGAAACCGAAGACAUGUACUGUUCAUGUAGACGAAGCUGAGACCCUUGAGCCGCGAAGAGUUUCUUCUGGAGAGCAUCCAUGGUGAUCGGAAUCUCUAAAGAGUGAUUGGUCGUCUCCACGUCUCGCGGGAGAUCCACUGUUGCUUGAUCCAAAAGAAAUCUCAAACUCUAGGGUUCAAAACUGAAGAGGUUCUAUUUAUUCUAUGAACUUUUUUGUGAUUGGGCCGAAAUAUAAAAGCCCAUAUGCCACUGUGCACACAGAGCAAGAGACUCUUAAGAGAUCAAAACACACAACAACGAGUUGAUAAGUGUUCUGACAUUUGAUUAGAUAUACAAUGAAGCAGUGUUGAUCAUCUUUUACAAUCUGUAAAAUAUACUAUAUAGAAGAAGAGAGACUCACACCUAAAGAAACCUCUUAAUGAAAAGAAGAGAUGCUUCUUUAGACUAUAAUCAAACAAUGUAUUGUGUCUCUCUAUUCGUUCUAACAACCUAUGUCUUUGUCUUUCUUUAUUCUAGCAAAAUUCUUAAGGAGGCAGAAGAAGAAACUAGUGUAAGAAGAUAGACUUCUUACUCGCAUUUGAUCGAUCGAUUAUGAUAUUUGCAUGUUGACACACCAAUAUUUGUUUACUCACUAAUUGAAAAUAGGUUUGGCAGAAUAAUUUGGCCCAAAAGAAAGGUUUGGCAGAAUAUUAAAUUGUCCCACCUGUGAGUUAAGUGUAAUUAUCUUUGCAAAGUGCUUAAUAAUUUUCUCUAAUAAUCGUUUAUAACUGUUUAAUUGUUUUAGAUGUUACAAAAUAAAUUUAGGAAAGCUAACCAAAAAAAAAAAAAAUUUGUAGGGACGAUGAAGAAUGACCGUUGAUGUUAUAUGAUAAAGAAAAAUAUCCAACUUGCUGCAGUUCAAAUUAAUCGUUAUGAAUCCAAAUUACCCAUAAUCAAGAUUCAAGUCAUUUAAAUUAUACUUAAAUUAAUUACUUUGCAUUAAACAAUCUAAAACAUUCAUCAAUACAACACGGUGCAACGUUUUAUACGGCAUGAUUACUGCAAGCUGGUUUUAUAUCUGAGAAAAAGACCAAAAUAGCACUAAAUCAAGUUUUUGUUCCCAAAUUAGCACUUAAGGCCAAAAGUCACAAAAAUAGUAUUCAAGGAGUGGGGUUUAGGGUUUAGAAUUUAGGGUUUAGGGUUUAGAGUUUAGGUUUUAGGGUUUAGAGUUGAGAAGUGAAGUUUUGGGGAUAAGAUUUCAAAUUUUGAAAAAUAAAAAAAAAAAAAAAUUUCAAAAGAUAAAAUGUUAUUUUGAUCAUUUUAGUUUUUGAGUGUUUUUUUGUGAUAUAAACUUAGAAAGAUGUUAUUUUGAAGAUUUGCCUUUUCGAUUUUGUAAGGAACCAGUGAGAAGUUACAACAUUUCUACCUUUCUAAUGGAUCCAUUAUCUGGAGUUGAACUUUCCUAAAGUAUGUGGUUUGAGCUACUUGUUUGUGUAUUAAGACCUUGCUCUUGAUUGUCUACAUCAUUUGUUAGAAAUGUUUUGGACAAAUGGUUCUGCUUGCUGGCCCUCUGGAGUUUUGAUCUCUUUUGAAGGUAUGCAUUUGUUUUGGAUAUGCAUACCGUGACCAAUGACUAUCCACUAAGCUGUAAUUAUGUUAUGCUCAUGUACCCCACUUUUCCAUAUAACUGGGGUUGGGAAACAUUUCUGUUGCUUAGAGCACUUUUAGUCUUUUGUUUUGAUUAUUUUAUAUAUGAGUAGUUUCUCAAUUAGAUUUUAGAAUUUUCAAAAAGAUUUCAACGUUAGACGUGGACGUUGAUUUAGGGAAUUAUCAAUUGAUUUCAUAAACUAUGUUGAUUUUAUUAUUGGAACUUGACUCACAAGUAUCAGCAAAUGUAUGUGCAUAUGAUUGCAAUUGAAAGUGCGAUGAUUGCAAUUGCAUAUGCUAAAAAGUUUUCUUCCAAAGCAUUCAAAGUCUUCAAGUUUUCCAACACAUAAUCUAGAAAUUUCCUUCAUCAAAAUCUUUUUUCUCUCCAUAAACAAAUAAAUUUAUCAGAAAACUUUCAUAAAUCAAAUCAACAUUAGAAACUAAGUGGGAAUAAUUGAAAAAAAAAGGAAAAAAAAGAAACCAUUAUAACCUCAUGAAGUGACUUCACGUUAGGAAGAGGAAGUUUUGUGACUUUCUUUUUUCCCAACAUUUUUGUUUCUUUAAAAAAGAACACCAAACUAUAGAAACAUUAUUUUACACCACUAGGAUUUUGAUCUUGCCUCUAAUACUGAUGUGAGUAUAUAGAAGAAUUAUUAUUGACUCUCAUGGAAAAUAGAUUACAAUAUGCAUAGAUUUAUAUAGAAAUGAAUAAACUUAAUUUCCUAAACUAAUAGUAUGAAAUAAUACAUUAUAGAUAAUGAUAAUUAAGUUUUCUAUUCUAAAAUAUUGAUAUACAUCCUUAAUUUUACCAUUGAUUUUGGGCUGAUCUUCUAAAUCUCUCACUAAAAUGACGAGUAAUCAUGUUAAACUUUGCUGCCAAUCAUCUAAACUCUUAUGUUUACCAUCAUGGUGAUGGGGAAUAGCUCUGACUGGAGUGGAGUUUCAUAAUCAAAUUCCUUGCUCAAAACUAGUCUGGAGCGUACGAAUUAUUCUAUCAUGUUCAGGCUUAAGAGUGAGCUAGGAUUUCUGUAAUUUUGACAGUGAUGACUUUGGGAAUAUAUCAUAAUCUUGAAAGUUGAGAAGGUCGGACUGUUAGAAGGGAAAGAUGGUUCUCAUCUUCAAGAUGAUGCACAUGUACUGUUACCCACCAAUUCUAGAUUAUAUUGUUCCAUGUUCUAUGCUAUAUGCUCUAUCUUUUGUCUCUUAGACUAUAAGAACUCCCGAGAAAUCCUCCUUCACUGAAACUUCCAACUGUAAAACGAUCUGAUUGCCACCAAUCGUUUAGUGAGAGCUCUCUGAGCAAUAUUAGCCUAAGAGUUUGGCCAUGAACGAGUUCAUCAAACCUUCCGUGGCGGCUCAAGAUUUAAGUAUUCUUGUCAGAAUCAGAGGAGACUUAGUUUCAGAACCUACACUUUUGUCCGUAAAUCUACAACCAUUGGUAAAAGUUCAUAAUCUAUAUAUAUAUAUAUAUAAAAAUUGAAAUUUAGGCUUAAUUAGGAUAAGGGAAAAUAAAACCAAUAAUAACAAAACUAAAACCAGGUCGUUCUCUAAGCAAAACGCGUUAACUUGGUACCAAAGAAAGAAAGUCCUGACCACUUCAAACUCUAAACAGUACUAACACUUUCAAAAACUAAACCUAUAUUAUUCCCUUAUAUGCAACAAAUUUAAAUCCAAAAUAUGUCAAUGUACAAAUAAAAAUGAAUUUCCAUGAAACGAAGAACGAGCCAACAACGCGUCUUGAGAUUUUCCACGCGGUCUUGUAUUGUCUCUCCAACGCUUCACCUAUAUAGACACAAGUCGGCAGUUCCAGCUUGCAGACAGAUCAUCAGCUCCAAUACUAAAGUAACUAAAACAAACCAAACCGGAAAAAACCAAGCAAGAAAGAAAAAAAAUGGGUGCAAGAGAAGCUACUAGUCUAGUCCCAAGGAGAGGAGAAGUCUUUAGAAGAGUUCUGAGAGCUGCUUUCUUUACUUGUCUUUGUUUCUCUUCCCGGAAAACUAGCCAGUCUCGUCUCCGAUCAUCUUCUGCUGUCACACAUUCUCUUGAUGUCAUCAAGCACUAGGAUCAAAUAAAUAAAAAACAAAUAAGAACGAAACCCAACUCUCUUAUUCAGUUUUUUAUUUGAACUUGUUAGCCAAGAGUCAAAGACCCAUUUGAUACAAGAUGGGUUCAGACUUCAGAGUCAUCCAGAGGGCGUUUUACAAUGUUGUAAUAGUUCAUGAAUAAGCCAUUCUAGUGUUUAUUUUUGUGUGGUCGUAAAUCUCAAAAUAGAAAGUAUAAGUGUCUGCUCUUUUUUCAUAUUGUUUCAGAGAUUUAUCAUCUAUCAUUGUAACGUUGUUCAAUAAAGUCUAACGUUUUUGAGUGACUAAAGUGAAACAAGAAAAAUUAGUACCAUGGUUAAAGCAAGAGCAUAUGAUUCUGAGAGCUUUCUGGCAAAUCAACGCUAUGUGGUGUGUGUGAUUUCAUUAGUCUUUGGUAUCCAUUGUUUCAAACGCAAUUUAUGCAAAUAUUAUGAAAAAAAAAUAUUCGCAUCUUCUAAAUGAAAAAAAACAUUUUUCAGUUACCGUUUAAAACUUCAAAUGUUUUUGUAAACGUAAGAAAUGCGAAUGCGAAUGGGAGGUUUUAUCCGAUAAACUUUAUCCCAAGGACUUGAAACAGAGACAUGACGUAGUUCUGCCUACCAAACUAGUACAAACAAACAAGAAAACCUAUAAUUAAACUUUAAAUCCUAAAAGGUUCUCAAUGUUUCAGCUAUCUAUAUUCUAAUUGUGUACCUGCGACAAUGAUGAGCCCGUAGAGAAAGAAAAAAAGCAAAACAGCAUCCUCUUAAAGUACCUACAGAGAAGGCACAAUAAACUUAACCAUAGUAAGAAAAAAACAUGAUCCAGGCAAAGACAAAACAAAAGAUCACAUAGUAAAAGAGAGGUUUUUCUUAAGACUACAGAGCCAAAACGUUGCCUAGAACUAGCUGCAAAUCCAAAACAAACUUAAGUCAGUAACAACCUUUCUUCUUCACAGGCUCAGGAGUUUAUAGAGGCUAAGGAGGAACCCUAAAUUGAGCCUGAAGGUAAGGUAGGGUUUUGCAUCAUCAUCAUCUCCUUCAUCCUCAGAAGCAGUUGAAGAUUUGUACCAUCUGUAUCUGUAGCCUGAGUUGAUUUUGAGCACGGUAUAAGGCGUGAUAAGGAUCUGAGUUGCUCGGAAAGAAAGAGAUCAUACUUCAGAGUUCGUCUUGAGAUAAUGAUUAAUGAGAGAGAAAACGAUAGAUAAGAAACACCGUACCUGAGCCGGUAAGGAACAGCUCCGCCGCGAGAACAGUCGUUAUUGACUUUUCUGAGGGAAAGCCGUUUUGAGAUUGGGCUUUUAACUGUGGUCCACUGUAAUUGUUUAGGCCCAUUUACCGACAAGGCGAAGGGAAAAACAGAAAAUCCACAAGCCUACAUUUGAUAUAAGCCAAUACCAAACCUAUAGAUAUUAGGCGGCCUAUGUUUAACCAGACCUUAACAAAACGUCUUGCUCAAAAAUGUGUAUUUAAUCAGAUCAUGAUUAACAAGACUUAAAGAUUUAAAAUGUGUAAUCCAAUGUUCAAGGUGAAAAUUGUUACUCUAAACGGGUUUCUAAAUACAUUGCUAGUAACAUUUCACACGUUUGAUUUUGAAAUUCAUCUGUUUCAUCAUAAAUUAGUGAAACUUACAAAGCUUUUUAUAUUGUCCUGUUGAUUUACACUGACACUGUAAACUUUUAUUAUUACAAAUAUUUGGAGAAAGAUGAACAUGCAAACUACUAUUGUUUUUUCAUCAUUGUUAAUUUUAGCUACUUGUCUGCCUAAAUGGACCCAACCCACUAAGGUCAAAAGCUAGGUUGGUCCUUUGUAGAGGAAAAACAAUGGUGAUGACCAGUAAAUUUGCAACUAAUGUUCCAUUUAGUUUCAGCUAUCCUAAGAAAUAGAGCAUUAAAUUAUACUAUUACUAUUACUAAUCCACGUCAUUUACCACCUGAAUAUGUGUUUAUUUUUUUCGCACAUGCUAAACACUUCCUGUUACGACUGCUAGAGGGGGGAAACAGCUUUUUUUUUUCUUUUUUUUUUCUUUUUUUUUGCCGUAUAAACUCAUGCCGACAAACGUCACAUUACAUAAACAUGACCUCAUGUAUCUGACUGUGUGCAAAUCCAGCUGGGCCUACGACAUAUCGGGCCCAUGAAGACACUGAUAUCAUAAAAUAGUUAAAAGGUUGAUUUGGUUUCAUUUUAACAUUUUUGCAUAAUAUCUGAAUUAAAAGGGUAAUUCAAAUUCAAAUUUCCAUAAACAAACCCAUUUACGGAAACCCUUAAUCCAAUGAUCUUAAAUUCAUUAAUGUUUCUACGCCAAAAGAUUUGAGUUUCGAAUCAUAUAGACACUGAAAUUAUGCAAAUUCAUAGACAAAAUGUUUACAAGAGAUUUGUAUCAUGCCGCAAAUAGUACCGUCAAGUGUGAGUUUCAUAGGACAAUUUAGGUGAUUCAGUUAGACGUGGAUCUUCAUAAAUAAUUAUACGUAUAAUCGUCCUGCAUAGUUUGUAAUAACAUAAUUAUCCAUGUUAAAAAAUGAUUUAUUGUGUAUCUCACUAUAUGUUUAUUUUUAGAUUCUUGAUAUACUAGUUUAAUAAAAACCAUCAAAUUUAUACAGAUUUAAAAUUUGUUGGUCAAUAAGUAUAACAUUUCUUUUAGUUCAGAAUUUACCUAUGCCAUGUUGUACUUACUAUAUGGUAAACCUACUCAAAUAUUUAACAUGGUAAGAAAGUUUUUUAAAAAUCGUUACAACCACCUACGAAAAUUUCAUGAUAAUGUACUACAUUUUCUCAUUCUCUUUUCAGUUGUUGUUUACUUGCUUUUCAGCACAUUCUUCCCUUUUUGCUUUUUAUUCUUUAUUAUUUAUUCUUCUUCACGCUUCGUUUAUUUAUUUUAUUUUUUUUUUUGAAAAUUGCUUCGUUUAUUUAUUUGCUAGUCUCUACUGAAUGUUUAUUUAAGAACAAAGGGGUUCCUAAGGGGAAAAGCGUAAAGAACAAAAAGUACGAACAUGCAAGAACAUAAUAAACCAAAACGAUAUUCUUUGUGAUUCAAAUUUUUGGUUGAUAAGUUCCUAAAUGAUACUUUAUACUAAAAUCUGCAAUUAUUCAAAUAAACAAAUACUGAAAAAGAAAAAUCUAAUUCGAUUAUUGAAAACAUCUUUUUCUUUAUAAAUAAAACAGGUUUAACAUGUCUUUUAUUCUUGUCACGUCAUCUCGAGUACACACUAUAACGACCCAGUCUAAUUACAUAUUUACAUGUCUCACCCCUUAGUUCUUAUUAUGGUAAUUGUACCCUUCCCUAAUGUGUGUAUCUUCGUGAAAGCAACCACGGCUUUGCCUGAGAGACCCGGUCCAUGAGCAGAAAGACACGGACGGCAGGCAAAGGCUCCAACGGGAUGCCGAACUGGCCGAGCCGAUGGCAUGAGAAUCCUCUUAUUUAUGUCAUUUAGGGUUACAUCUUCUUCUCGACCACCUGGUUUCACCACUCCAAAUGGAUACACCACUCUCUUCUUCUUGUCAUAGAGAUUUUCCUCUGUAACACAUGUGUUAGAUUAGUAUAUAUAUAAAAAUUAACACAAAGAUAUUAUAGUAUUAAUGUAUACAGCUUACAGCUAAAUAUAAACUUAAAUCCGACUAACGCAAACAAGAAAAACAAUCUGAUUUCAUAUGCAUGCUACCAUAAUUUCGGAAGGAAAUAAAGCAUACGUACUUGAAUUGGACGUAGAUGGCUCGAAGGAGUGUUUCGAGUGAUUUGAGGCCUCUGAACAAAUAUUGAUGGAUGAAUGUGGAGAUUCAUCUGCUCAAUAUAUAAGAAAUUUCAUUCAUGAAGAUUAUGAACGAUCACAAAUAAAGUAAUAUUAAUAUUAAUAUAUAUUAAAUAUAAAUAAUUAAUAUAUAUAUAUAUAGUAUAUCGGUGACAAUAAUAAAGUAGGUCUCACCUGCAAACUGACUACUCGUGCAACUAUAAGUCUCAGACAUACCCCAAUUAUUCUGCACAAUUAUAUUUUUAUAAGUUUAAGAAAAUUAUUGAACAACUACGUAAAUGACUACCGAAAAAACGAAGUAAUUAUGUAAACCUGGUGAUUAUCAAAGUGGUUAGUUGGUUUGUCCUCGGCGUUGAACGAAAGACGUCUCCGUUUGCUUUUCACACUGAAUUCGAUGAGUGCGUCUUCGAGAUAGCCGGUGGAAACGGCGCCGAUAAUAUCCUCCUCCGGCGAAUGUAAUAUAUGCUCCGGCGAUCCAUCAAUGUGGCCACAUGAAUCUACAAAUACAUUGCACAGCCAAAUAUGUCGCAUCAUUAUAUGAAUCCCUUGAAUUAUCAGUACAAUACAUUCACAUUUCAACAAAAAGAAUGCACUAUCGUCUGCUUGAAGCCACCCUCGUUUAUAUAUCAACAAACUCAGCAUAAAUCAUGUCUAUAAAAAUGCAUGUACGCGUACAUUUAGAUUUAUGUGUGCGUUUAUACCUAAACUGAAGUUUUGGUUGAAGAAUGAUCCAAGGUUAUGGAGAUCCCAAGUGGGGAGAGAGUAGAAAAGCUCACUCAUUGUUUUUUUUUUCUAAUAUAGUUGAUUGAUUGUGAGUGUGUUGAAUUAGGGGGCUAUCCUGUGGCUGCCUAUUUAUCUUGAUGGGUUGUGAAUAAAAAGGUGAAAAUUAAAUAAAAUGAAUAAAACGACGUGGUGGGAAAAAAAGAGAAAAGUAAAAGCACUGAAGAAAUUUAGAAGAAAUCAAAUUUAGUACUCAACACGGUCAACUCUAAAGAAAAGACAAAUAACAAUAAUUGUUGGAUAGUGUGUCAUGAAGAUUAAUAUCAGCCAAAAUAAUAUAAUAUUAUAGUUUAUUCGUGAGAUGGUGAAACUAUCAUUUUGCUAUACUGUUUCCCAUUAACCGCAUUGUUUUAAGAAUUUACAAUCAUCAAAAUCAACAAGUAAAAAGCAUUAAAAAUGAAGUCUAUUAAUUGUGUUCAAAAAAAAAAAUGAAGUCUAUUUUUCCAAACAAAAAAAGUGAGUCUAUUUUCAAAAAAAUGAAGUCUACGUAGUCUACCAUGUUAUUUUGUUGUAAUUUAAUAUAAACCCCACUGUUAGUGUUAUGGGGUAAUAAUAGUAACGGUUGUAUUACGUCCUUAUCACUCAUUCGUUGUUAUGAAACGAAUGAUAUAAAAUAAUUUCAUUUGACCAAAAAGACAUUUCAUAGACUACAAAACCAAAAUAUCACAGACGUACAUAUAUGCAUGCUGAAAACAACUAGACAAGUAAGUGUGCUUUUAGAUAUGUACAGGUGUAUAAUUUGUAGAGACUGAUCAUUUGGUCCAAAAGUAUGUUUACUAGAGUGAAUACUGAACAAUGUGGUAUGUAUUUACCUUUCCAUGCAAUAUGUAUACCACAUUUAAGCAGGAUUAAAUUGUCAUAAUGGUAAUGCUUAUAUAAAUUACCAUGUUUUCCAGAAACUACCAUGUUGUAAACGCUUUGGUCAGUAUAUCAGAUUGCCUUUAACAAAAAAGUAUAUUAAAUUGAAUCAUUGAAACUAUGAUGCAUAUGGUUUGCAUAGUGUACGAAAUGAACUAUAUGCAGGGUCACUAAAAAAAUCGACAUUGACCAAUGUACAAAACAAAAAUGGAAAACGAUGGACAUUAACGUUUUGAAAUUUGAGUGGGGUUAGGUAAAUGGGGGACUGAAUAAUGGCUAAAGGUGAUAAUACUAUCAUCAUGAUGUCUAUGUUCUAUUGCUGCUCGUGCAUGUUACUCAUGGAAGAGAGAGAACGAUGAUCUAUAACUUGAUUUCUUAGUCCUGUUACGUACUAGACUAUUAGUACGAUUAACAAAGUAAUGAGAAGCUAUUUUAUUUUUGGUUUGUACACAUACAAUGAGAUAGCAUCUAUAAUAUAUUUAUGAUGGGUUCAGAAUGCGAAAGCAACUUAUCGCUAAAUGAAAAUAUUGUCCUUGAACUCGGCUUUUAAGUUUGAAUAGACGGAUAUAUAGACAUAUAAAUUUGCUACAUGGUAAAAUUAAAGAUAAUGGGUUCGACAAUAUCAUAAAACGAAAGAGGUGAAAAGGAUAAAAAAUAUCAAGGCUAUACCCUUAAUUAUAUAAUUAACUUUGGUUCCAAAUACCAUAAUUGAAUGUGUGUUACGUGAAAUGUUCACAUUCUAAAGAAAUAAUGUAAUUUGUAAAUACAGUGAAAAGCCAUUAAUAUAUAUAUAUAUAUAAAUGUACCAGGAAAUGAAGUAAAGAAAGAUGGUUUAUCAAGAUCAUGCAUGCGGAGUUGUUGACCCAAAAAAAAUACACAUGAGAGGAUUUCAAAUUUGCAGCUUUAACUUUGUAUUUUGUAUGUAUAUUCUUCAAAUUUGCAGAAAAAAAACAACUGUCCAUCGUCGCUCUCUCCUCGCGUGAAGACACCGAAGACCUAAAUCCUCUAGCUCCGGCCCGGUGUUUGCCGGUGUCAGAGGCACCCCUCCAUUCUCUUUUCUCCUUUUUCCUUUGCUUCUCAUGCUUUCAUGCUUCCAUGGAGUUGAUAUGCAGGCUGCUCUGAGUUAUUGGGUUCUUUAACAUGAGCUCGAUUCGGUGAGCGACGGUGACAGAUCCUGGUGUUCUUUGGAGUAGUGGCGAGACUUACAGUGGGGCUAUCGCUAGGGGAGUCGGCUUUUAGGGCUAAAGCUUCGUCAGAUCUGAUUUUUCGUUUUUAAGAUCUUUGAUGAUAGCUUCUCGACAACGGCGCGUGACAUUGACAGACGCCUCCUCCACCAUCGAUCUAGCUUCCCCUGCGGCGGUGAGAUCAUUGGAGGAGAGGAUUAGUGGCCGGUGGAAAAGAGGUUUGCUUCUACGGUUCUCGGAGGCAACACGCCGGAAGGUUUCACGAGGAUGGAGUAGUCAAAGUGAACUUUGUUGCAGGUGCGUGGUGGAGCCAUACAUCCCAUCGUCGGAGUGGAAUCUUUUGGUUCACCGGUGGUUUGUGCUCCACACCUUUGAAGCUGGGAAUUCGUUUAUCCUGUCCGUUUGAGGUGUCAAGGUCCACAUUUUAUCUACUCGGUGAUGUGUUUGGGAUGGGUUGUUCUCAUUAUGGUGCAAAAGGGCAGUGUUGUUUCAGCGGGUUGUGCUUUGACUCAUUCAGUUGCAAAAUUAUCUUCCAGUUGUAGUGGCUACAUUGAUCUUUCGUCGCUUACGUGUGCUAGUGUUUAUCAUGGUUAUGGGUUUUGAGCGACGAAGCUUGGUUGUGUGGAGGUUUUGGUGGACUUCUAUCUAGGUGCAAAAUGGACGUCAGAGAGUGGUUCUACUUGAGUGAUCCGAGUUCUAGACUGGUCUUUAAUCGAACUUGAAUAAUUGUUUGGCUCACACUUGUUUAACACCCGAUCAAACCACCUUAGGCUAGCAUUUUAGUUAUCUGAAUACUUUAAUUAAUCUUAUUACUUGCUUGUUACGAAAUCUUAAUCUCAAAACCCCAUCAUUGUUUUAGCUAAGUAUUGAUCCCAUAAGGAUAAAGUGUAAUUGUUGGUCUCUGUGGAUUCGAUCCUAAAGUGCUACAUCGACAUACCAUUCGAUUGUGGUAGUGUGCACAUUAGGUUAUUUGGUGUGCGUAUACAUGUAAUAUCAAAUUGGCGCCGUUGCCGGGGACCAUCUUUUUACCUUUAUUUUUCGGUUAUUUAUUUAGUCUAAGACCUCUAACUUGCCUUAUCCUUUUUGUUGCAGCUAAUGUUCCAGGUGCAUGACCAGUAGACAUACUCGGAGAAACGCACAAGGAGAGUUAGUUACAUUUACCAACCAGGAGCUAGCAAGGUUAGAAAGAACAAAUCGUCAACAGCCAAGGCAAACCGACACCACUAUGGGUGAUCACGCCAAUCAGGAUGAUCUCGCUGCGGCUAUGGCACUCAUGCAGCAGCAGAUGCAACAAAUGCAGCAGACCAUCCAGGCUCAGCAGGAUGCUGCUGAACAGGCUGCUCUCGCGCAGCAGGAACAACAGGCGCAGACUGUUCCAAUCGGGCAGAGAAACCUUCCGCGUAACAUCCCUACUACGCGCUCUGCCAUUGUUCCUCCACUCUGCACCAGGCAGGACUUCGAGAUCAAGCCUGCUUUGAUUGGUCUAGUACAGAGAAAGGUGUUCUCUGGUCUCUCUACAGAAAUUCCAAUGGAGCAUAUUGAGAGCUUCGAAAAAGUCUGCAGUUUCACUCGCGUGAAUGGUGUUCCACCAGACUACAUCACGUGCAUGUUAUUCCCAUUCUCUCUUGAUGGAAAAGCUGCACGGUGGUUGAACUCUCUCCCUACCGGCUCUCUCACUUCAUGGGAACAGGUCCGAUCAGCGUUCCUCAGCCAUUUCUACUCUAAGGCGAGAACAGCUGCAUUGAGGAACAAGAUCACCUCCUUCAGACAGCUCACUGAUGAGCUUUUCUGCGACGCAUGGGAGCGCUUCAAUGACUAUCGCAGAGAAUGUCCUCACCAUGGAUUUGAUGAUGAUUAUAUCCUGGACAUUUUCUAUGAUGGAGUGGACUGGAAAUACCAAGGUGCUCUAAACUCUGCGAGCAAUGGAGACUUCAUGACUCAAACCACUGCUGGAGCGUUUAAGCUGAUUGAGAACAUGGCUGCUAGCUCAGCUAAUAAGAAAGAGGAGAGUGAUUGCUCCAAGAAAGGGAACAGUUCUGACGCCCAGAAAAUAGAUGAGCUGACUGCCAAGGUUGAUCAGCUACUGAAAAACAACCAAGGGCACGUCUUCAGCAUGGAACAACCUACGGCCGGGCAUAUUCAGAACCAGAACCAGCGACAACCGCAGAGCAAUCCGCAUGCUGUUCCAGCUACCGGGAACAGUCAACCAGAUGAGCUGAAGGGUCUGGGUAUGAUGAUGCAACAGCUGUUGCAGGGUCAGCAGGUUCAGGCCAAGGCGUUGAAUCAGGUAACCACGGAAAUAGACACCAGGAUGGGCAACAUGUUCACUGAGCUGAAUAACAAGUAUGACAAUCUUGCGAUCCAUAUAAGAAAGAUCGAUGUUCAGCUUGCUCAAACAGUUGAGAGUGUCAAGAGGCAACAAGAGACGCUUCCUGGAAAAACUGAUAAAAAUCCUAGGACUGAGCACUGUAAUGCAAUAGAGCAGCCGUUCGCUGAGACUGCUCCAGGCGCAGAAGAGAGAGUAGAGCAGUCUACUAGCUCUGGAGUGACUGCUCCUAGCGAACCUGCUGAGACUCCACCAUCUCGAGUCUAUGUUCCCAAGGUUCCCUAUCCAAUUCCACCUAGACAUCUGAUGGAUCCCAUUAGUGAAGAGCAGUUGAUUGGUUUUAACAAGAUGGUGAGAAGGCUUCCUAAAGAACUUGCAUUCGAAGAUGCUCUGCAGAUUCGUCCACUGCUCUAGUUCUUUAAAUACUGUAGAGAGACUCAAGAGGAGAUCAAGGUCCUCUAUACCAAAGCACUGUCUACACCAGCACUGAAGGUAUUGCCUAAGGUUGAUGAUCCUGGAAAGUUUGUUUUCCCAUGUUCCAUCGCAGGAACAACCUUCAAGGAUGCUCUUUGUGACUCUGGUUCUUGUGUGAAUCUCGUCUCAAAGGCUAUUGUAGACGAUUUGGGUAUUGCUGAUGUUGAGCGUUCUCAGCUGACCCUGACCUUUGCAAACUCUUCCAGAGCAGUCCCAUAUGGAACCAUCCGCAGCCUUCAUGUUCAAGUAGGGGAAUGCAUUGUUCCUGCUGAGUUUCAAGUUGUUGAGAUGAACAAGGAUCAUGAGAUGCCUUUAAUAUUUGGAAGGACAUUCAUGGCUACUGUUGGAGCAACCAUCGAUAUGCCCAACAAGAGAGUCUGCUUCUCCAACAUCAACAAGAAAGUUUUCUACAAGGCUGUACCCACCAGAUCUUCCUCAUCACACGCCUCUCGCAUCUCAGUGUUUGAUGUAGAAAAGCUGAAGGUUGUUCCAGAGAAGGAGCAUGGUGAUAAGGGUGAGAGCAGGCUGUUCUCUGAUGAAGAUCCUAGCACUGAUCCUACUAAAUUCAGAGGGAAUUCAAGGGUGAAACAGAAAGUCCAGAAGAAAAGGUGUCUGGGUCCGAGAUGAUUUUCAAAAAUCUGUUGUAGAAUUUUGAGAUUAAUUAUAUACUAAUACAGUAAUACUCUGUUUAAACAAAUUUUCUUUUGGUGGGGAUAGAUUUCAACCAAGGUUUUCUUACAUUAUAUAUACAUACAACAUAUACGACAAUAUACGACAAGGACUAUCCUUUUUUUUAAAACAAGGAGAUUCGAUAUAUAUAUAUUUUUUUUGAAAAAACUAGCCGACUAGAUAUUUGCUUUUCUUUUUAGAAAAAAAAACAAGGAGAUUUCAUUUUUUAAAAACUAGCCGACUAGAUAUUUCCUUUUCUUUUGAAUAAAUUUUCCUUUUCCGACUGAGAAAAAGACAUUUGUAAUUCCAUAGCCCACUGGGCUGAAAACGAUGAUACCCGCUUCGUUUUACAAACCCAAAUCUCAAAUCAAAAUUUUCAUUUUUCUUUUUGUUAGCAUCAGUCAAUAAAAAUAAUAAUAAUAAAAAAAGAGUUUCAAUAAGCCCUAGGAAGCAAAUCUCGUUGGUGUGUGUGUCUGUAUGUCACUGCUCUUCCUCACGAGAGCCAAGCCGUUAUCUCCUUCUCGCUAUCUCUCCACCUUCCUCUCUCCGGCGCCUACCAAUCUUCUACGUCGCUCCUUUCACGGCUCCGCAACAAUGGUAAGGAGGAUAAGCUCAUCCUCGCCUGAUUCUCGAAUUGUUUAUAAGUCUUGAGAAUCCAAUUUGUUUUUGUUUUUUUCUGAAUUCGCAGUCUGAAGCAGAGAAGAAGAUCCUCACUGAAGAGGAGCUUGAGCGCAAGAAGAAGAAGGAUGACAAGGUUUGACUUCUUUUUCUUCAAUUUCUCAUAAAAUGCUCAAUCGGCGUAGAGAUUGGAUAGUGAUGCAAUGUUCUGAGAGUGAUAAACUAUGGCUUGAUGAUCAUUCGAAAAAUUGAAUUUGAUGAGAAGAUAGAUAGAUAGAAUGUGUUUGUUUUCUUUAGAUAGGAAAGUUUGAUCAAUCAUCUUUGCUAUAUCAAGAAUCAAAGUGUUCUACACUAAUAGUCUUGACUCUUGAAUACUUCUCUUAAUUGUUUAUAUCUAUUGCUUAUGACUACAGCACUUUACUUUAAAAGUGAUUUUUAAACAACGUUUUAUAGGCUAAAGAAAAGGAGUUGAAGAAGCUCAAAGCUUUGGAGAAAGCGAAGCUUGCAGAAUUAAAGGUAGUUUCUAAAGGAACUCCAGUUAUGCAUCUCGGGUGAAAUCCACAUCCUUAGUUUUUUUUUUGUUUAAAUCAUGGUGUAGGCGAAACAGGCGAAAGAUGGAACCAGUGCCCCUAAAAAGAGCGCAAAGAAGAGUUCCAAACGAGACGCGUCAGAUGAGAAUCCUGCGGAUUUUGUGGACCCUGAAACUCCUCUUGGUGAUAAGAAAAGGCUCUCAUCUCAGAUGGCUAAACAGUACAGUCCUGCUGCCGUUGAGAAAUCGUAAGUGUGUAUAGAUUUGAGGCGUGGUGUUCAUUUAUUCUGUAAAAGUUUCUCUCUACAUAACCUCUGUGUUAUUCUGUGAUUUGGUCAGAUGGUAUGCUUGGUGGGAGAAAUCUGACCUUUUUAAGGCGGAUGCUAAGAGUUCCAAGCCGCCCUUUGUUAUUGUAAGACCAUACUCGAUUCUUGAAUCCAUGUUCAUUCUGGAUUAUACCUUUCUUUUAAUUGUAUUCUCUAGCUUUAAUUGUCCCUAAUUGAUUCUGCAGGUUCUUCCUCCUCCAAAUGUGACUGGAGCCUUGCAUAUUGGCCAUGCCCUAACAUCUGCCAUUGAGGUUUCAUUUGCACUAAUAUAUUGGUGCUAUUUCUCAGUCAAAUGCUUCUCCUGAUGAUCAACGGAUUGAAUUUUUUUGAUGCAGGAUACGAUUAUUCGUUGGAAGAGAAUGUCUGGGUAUAAUGCUUUAUGGGUGCCCGGGAUGGACCAUGCUGGUAUAGCUACACAGGUUCGCCAUUUACAUCGUUGUUCUCUCCCUAUCAUUUCCGUAUUAGAAAAAUUCAGUCUACAGUGUAAAACUCCAUGUUUGGCAUGGUUGUAGAAUAUUUUAUUUUGCACAUUGGUUGAUGCUAUUUAUUUGGAUGUACAUUCUAGGUUGUGGUUGAAAAGAAGCUCAUGCGUGAAAGAGGAUUGACUAGGCAUGACGUUGGCCGCGAAGAAUUCGUAAAUGAAGUAAGUUGAAAAUAAAUACACGCUCAUGAAUCGUUUUCCAUUUUGCAUUGCUUAAAAAUUUAUUUGUGGCUCAUUUUUGAUCAUGGAAAAGGUGGAUCAUGGAAAAGGUAUGGAAGUGGAAGAACCAACAUGGUGGCACGAUUCUGACACAGCUUCGGCGUCUAGGAGCUUCUCUUGAUUGGUCUCGUGAGGUAAAAUUCAAUGACCGGACCUUUCUCGGACAAGUGUUAUGGAAAAUUGGCAAUGUUUAGUUUGUUUAGCCACUUGGUGAACUUAUAUGUAAAUGGACCUUUUAUCGUCACCUGUAUCUGUGGCUAUUUAUAUAACAGAUCUGUUUACGCUUGUAUUUUGUAGUGUUUUACAAUGGACGAACAAAGAUCAAAAGCUGUUACUGAGGGCUUUGUACGGUUAUACAAGGAAGGGCUUAUCUACAGGUAUGUAAAAAUCCUUAGAAACAGGAAUAUACAAAAAAAGAAAGGAAAUGUGCUCUUUUUACCUUUUCAGUUAACUGGUUAAAAGAAAGCACAAUUAACUGAAACAUAUACCAUGGCUUACGCAGGGACAUUAGGCUUGUUAAUUGGGAUUGUGUUUUGAGAACAGCCGUAUCUGACGUUGAGGUAAGUCAACAAUUGUUAGACUAUGAUUAUUAGAUGGCAUCCUUUUUAUGCGGAGUGUGUCUAUGUAGGUGGAGCAUAUCGAUAUCAAAGAAAAAACGCUACUAAAUGUUCCUGGCUAUGAUAAGCCAGUAGAAUUUGGUCUUCUUACGUCAUUUGCUUACCCUCUGGAGGGAGGCUUGGGAGAGGUUGUUGUUGCCACUACAAGGGUGGAAACAAUGCUUGGGGAUACUGCCAUUGCUAUUCAUCCCGAUGAUGCAAGAUACAAGCAUCUUCAUGGGAAAUUUGCUGUGCACCCAUUUAAUGGACGGAAAAUACCAAUCAUCUGUGAUGGAAUACUUGUUGAUCCAAACUUUGGUACUGGCUGUGUUAAGGUACAUGCUCUUAUAUUUUUGUAUAUGUUUCUGCCCCUAUUAGUUGAUUUUUCUUGUAUCAAAGUAUUUUUAUUCUUCUUUUGUAGAUUACUCCUGCCCAUGACCCCAAUGAUUGUGAGGUCGGAAAGCGUCACAAUCUUGAAUUUAUAAACAUAUUAACUGAUGAUGGAAAAAUCAACACAAAUGGCGGGUCUGACUUCACAGGGAUGCCACGCUUUGCAGCGCGUGAGGCAGUCCUUGAAGCUCUGAACAAGAAGGUAAUUCAUUAGUACUUCACGUAAACAUAUCAUAGCAACUUGAUUAUUCUUCGUUUGAGGAGAUAUUGUUUGUACAGAGAUAGAUGUACCUUAACUUUUUCGUUAAUAUAAUUUUAUAUGUUCCAGGGGCUUUACAGAGGUGCCCAAAACAAUGAAAUGAGGCUUGGACUUUGCCAAAGAACCGGUGACGUUAUUGAGCCUAUGAUUAAACCUCAAUGGUACGUCAAUUGCAGCAUGAUUGGAAAGGAGGCUCUCGAUGUUGCUAUCAAUGAUGAGAACAAGAAGCUCGAGUUUGUACCAAAGCAGUACACUGCAGAAUGGAGAAGGUUGCUUUCAUUUGUCAUUUACUCUUAUGGUUCUUCUAUUAUUAAUCUAUUAACAAUCACAAUGGACCUUAACAGAUGGCUAGAGAACAUACGUGACUGGUGUAUUUCAAGACAGCUUUGGUGGGGCCACCGGAUUCCAGCAUGGUACGCCGCUCUAGAGGAAGAUGAGCGCAAGGAGGUUGGUGCGUACAACGACCAUUGGGUUGUUGCUAGAACCGAGGAAGAAGCUCGUAAAGAGGCUGCUGAUAAAUUUUCUGGGAAAAAGUUUGAACUGACGCAAGAUCAGGAUGUACUUGAUACGUGGUUUUCUUCUGGGCUCUUUCCAUUAUCUGUUCUGGGAUGGCCCGAUGAAACUGAAGACUUCAAAGCUUUCUAUCCAACAUCUGUCCUAGAAACUGGACACGAUAUUCUCUUUUUUUGGGUUGCUCGUAUGGUUAUGAUGGGAAUGAAACUAGGUGGUGAUGUUCCAUUCAGUAAGGUACAUAAAAGUUUUAGUUAAAUCAAUCCUUUUCGAUCCAAGUCUUAUCUUGCUUUUUUUUUUGUCAUCAGCAUAAACAGACUCAUACAGACUCUGUGAACCAGAGAUUUAUUCAAUUUCCUGGUCAUUCUACACCACUUUAUGUAUUCUAAUCAAGCUUCUUACAAAGUGAUUCAUCCUGGUUUGAUUGGAACGACGAAGAAACUGGAAUCACCUGAUUUGAAAGUGGGAUAACUUCUUCAUCCCAACUCCUAUGAGAUUUAUUCAAAUUUUUUUUUUUGUCAUCAGCAUAAACAGACUCAUACAGACUCUGUGAACCAGAGAUUUAUUCAAUUUCCUGGUCAUUCUACACCACUUUAUGUAUCUAAUCAAGCUUCUUACAAAGUGAUUCAUCCUCGUUUGAUUGGAACGACGAAGAAGAUGUCAUAUUCCCAUACUGGGAAGCUGGAAUAACUUGAUUUGAAAGUGGAAUAACUUAUUCAUCCUAACUCCUAUGAGAUUUAUUCAACUUCCUGGUCAUUCUACACCACUUUAUGUAUCCAAAUCAAGCUUCUUACAAAGUGAUUCAUCCUGGUUUGAUUGGAACGUAUCCGAGAGAUGUGUGGAUCGUGAAACGAUCUUUCUGGUCGGGUUGUGAAGUCUUGGUUCUUAGUUACGAGAGAGGAUGGUAUCGUUUGGCGGGCCAUAGGCAGCAGCGAUAGAUCCGGGUUGAGAAGGCACUACAGUGUCUUUGGGUUCUACAAGUGGAUGGUUCGUAUGGCGUGCUGAGGGCAGCAUCGAUUUAUCCAGAUUAUUGUUAUCUGCUUCUUAGGAGAUUGUUUGCACUGAUUUGUCAUUUGCUUUGGUCUAGUUUAUUGAGUUGUAGUGUGUUGUAUUUCUUUUGCCUAGUUAAAGAUGUGUUCGAAAGUUACCCCGGUGUGGGUUCUAGCUGCCUGUUCUUUGGGCUAUUGGCUCUGGAGAUAUUUUUAUCUGCCAGCUUUUGUAUUAAUCUAUCGUAUGAAUGAAUUUCAAUUUGGGAAAAAAAAAAAA
This 52462-nucleotide long non-coding RNA is filed under the name Brassica napus (rape). RNAcentral describes it as "long non-coding RNA (BNAP_LNC008444)". Lineage: Eukaryota; Viridiplantae; Streptophyta; Magnoliopsida; Brassicales; Brassicaceae. The record is from RNAcentral.